Molecule: long non-coding RNA, 56334 nt
Filed under: Gossypium barbadense (sea-island cotton)
Lineage: Eukaryota; Viridiplantae; Streptophyta; Magnoliopsida; Malvales; Malvaceae
Description: long non-coding RNA (GBAR_LNC014012)
Source: RNAcentral
GUGGGGGAGACUUGUACUUGUAAGGAUGCUUUGGAGGUGAUGGUGGUGGUGGUGGUGGAGACUUGUACUUAUAAGGAUGCUUUGGUGGUGAUGGUGGUGGAGGUGGUGGGGACUUGUACUUGUAAGGGUGCUUGGGUGGUGAUGGUGGUGGAGGUGGUGGAGACUUGUACUUGUAAGGGUGCUUGGGUGGUGAUGGUGGUGGAGGUGGUGGAGACUUAUACUUGUAAACUGGAGAUGGUGGGGGUGGAGACUUGUACUUGUAAGGGUGCUUGGGUGGUGAUGGUGGUGGUGGUGGGGACUUGUACUUGUAAGGAUGCUUGGGUGGUGAUGGUGGUGGAGGUGGAGGAGACUUGUACUUGUAAGGAUGCUUGGGUGGUGAUGGUGGAGGAGGUGGUGGAGACUUAUAGUUGUAAACAGGAGUUGGUGGGGGAGGAGAUUUGUACUUGUAAGGCUUCUUGUGUGGUGGUGGUGGUGGAGAGUAGACCGGAGGAGGCGGUGGUGGAGACUUGUAAUGGUAAGGUGGUGGUGGGUACUUCUUAGGUGGUGGUGGAGGAGAAGAAUAAGUGUAAUCUGCUGAGGUUUCAAAAGGCAAAUUGAGAGACACUGCUAAAACUAAAAGAGUGAGAAAGAGAGAGGUCAUUGAUGACCCCAUUUUCCCCAUCCUUACUUCUAAAAAUGGGUUUAAUUUGGUUAUGCUCUUAGCAGCCCUCUUCACUCCCUUUAUAUAGACUUUGUUUUAAAGUUACAAUCAUGAUAAAAGUGUGAAGGUGGACCGAACCUUCAGCAGCAUUGAAAAAAGACGUUACGUUUAGGUUAUUAGCAUGGUAUGACAUAAUAAUUCUCUAUUCUCUUCCUUGUCGUUUCCCAUAAAUUUAAUUUAAAUAGUCCAUUUGCUAUAUUUAUAUUUCUGUUUCUCUAUUAAAUAUUUAUCAAAUUCAUUUCUCACUCCUUAUAGAAUAUGAAUAAUUAAUCAUUAAACUCGAUUUAGUAAAUACUUUAAAAAAUGAUUUAUCUUAUUUUUAUGCUUUAAUUAAGGCAUCAAAUCAUUAAUCCCAUUUGAUAUUAUGAAAAUUUAUCACUUAAUUGAUCAAAAUGUGAUUCUUGGCAGGAAAACAUAAUUUACUUUCCUUAAAAUGUAAUUUUUAUUGAGAGUUAUUUUUCCACUAACAAUAGAAAGUGAUUCUCUUUAUAAUUCGUGAAAAAAUUACUUUCACAUGUAAAUAAAAAUUGUUAGGAUAAAAUUAACUUUUCUUUUAUUUAUGUUAAGGUUACUAAUUAACUUAUUCAACUUUAAUAAAAGAUAAACAUAGUUGUAGCUUGUUUGUUGAUGUUAGUUUUUUGUCUUUACAACUUCAAACCAUUAUUCUAGUGUAAUUUUUUUUUCUUUCUAAAUAGUAGAUAAGUAUCUAUAUUUUAUUUUGCUAUAAGAAAAUUAUAUUUUUUAGCAUACAAAACUUAAGAUAACUUGUAGAAUCAAGUAGUUGUAUACCUAUUACUCUAGCAAUAAUAAUAUUGACAUUGUCUACUUUCAAAUUAAAAUUUCAAAUUAGUUCAUUGCCCAAUUUUCUCAUUAAAAAAAAUUAUAUAUAACAUGUCAACUUAACGAAACUUACAUGAAAUUUUGUAUGUGUUAAAAAUGAAAAAUAUGGCGGUUAUUAAAAAAGAUGUCAUACAUCUAAAUCAAACUACUAAUUUAAAAAUUAGUAUUGAGAUAAUUUCAAGCCAUAUAUGCAAUAUUUGAGUAUACUUGAACUUAUACAUACAAAUUAGUGAGGAUUAAAAUUUUGUAAAUUGUACAUCUUCACAAUCUUGCGUUAAUAUACAAUUUUUUUAAUGUAUUAAUAUAAUGUUUUAGAUCAAGACGUGAAAAAACAUAAUUCAAAUAUUUGUUAAUAGUAAAAAAUUAUUAAUAAAUAUUUAAUUCAAAAUUUAUUAAUAAUAAAAAUUAUUGAAAAAUAUUAAAUACGUUAAUAUUAUUUUUAUUUAAUAAUGAUACUUUUGUACAGUAAUCUUAUAUUCCCAAAUAAGUGUUAAAUGUGUCAAGAUUUUAAUCAAUACUUUCCGGUGAUUACCAAACGUUGUGAAGUAACUUCUUAAACAAUAAUAUUCUUAUCAAUCACAUUCCAUUAAAAUUUUAACAUAGAAAAGCACCAAAACGCCCCCUUAAAAUCGUGGUAAGUCUUGUUUGUCUAAAAUUUAAAUAUUUAUUUUAUUAUUUAAAAUAUAUUAAUUUUCUAAAAAAAAUCAUUAAUAUUUAUAUUUCUAAUUUUAAACAUUCUUUUGUUAAUUAAAUGAUAGUCUAAACGGUUAAACUCAAAUCGAAAGCAUUUUAUCUUAUAUUAGAUUAUAUGAAUCAUAUUAUGGUUGAAAGUAAAAUGUAUAAAAUCAAUACAAACAUCAAAUAUUAAACUUCCACUCAAUAGAUUUUAAAAUUUCUAAUUUUAUCACUAAUCUAUUUUAAGAUUUUUUUAAAAAAAAUCGUACUUUAGAUUAUCUAAUUUAAAAUUUUAUAAAAUUAUUAAAAAAUAUUCUUGUAAUAAAAAAAAUUUGUUUUAAAAUUUUUAAUUUUUUAUAUAACCAAUGAAUUUUUUACGUUUGUUUUAACUGGUUAUCUAAACAAAAUAAAAACUUAUUUAGUUUAAAUAAAGUGGUAAAUGUGAAAGCACCACAAAUCACAACUACAUUAGUUUUAUAAUUGGAUUAAUUUAAUCACCGGCAGAGGAAAUGUGUUAGUUCUAGCUACCAACAAUUCAUUUUAAUUCCUUUAAAAAUAUUAGAAAAAACCAAUUUGAUUUUUAAUAAUAGAUCUAAUUACUUAAAGGAACAUGGGUGAUGUGCACAUGGCAUACAAGCAUAAAAAAGAACAAAAAGAUUAAGUAUCUUUGCAAAAUAUCUCUCUCUGAAAUAAAUAAAACUUAAAAAAAAACAAUUUUAUUAUCAAAAUAAAAAGAAAAUAGUGUUUUUCUUCACAAAAAAAGAAAAGAAAAGAAAUACUAGUGUUUUUAAUUAAAAUAGAGUGAUCUGGGUAGAAUCUUUUACUUAAAUACUGACAUUGACUUUAUAAGCUAUUUUUUAUCAAAAGAAGAAAGAGAAAAGCAUCCGAUUGAAGAUGUGAAUUAUUAAGUUAAAAUUAAUCAUACAUGUAAAAUAUUAUUGUGCUUUUUUCUAGCCCUCCGAAAGACAUUAUGCUUUGAUUACAACAUUCUUCCUCAGAGAUGAGGUUUGAAGAUGAACUCGGAUGCAUUUAGAUUUUUACAAGACGAAAGUAAAUUAAAGGAUGUUAGUACUUGUAUUCCGAUACGCUUAUAAUACAGAAAGCAAGUAAUAUGUGACUGUACAUAAUGGCUAUGAGGCGAGGAUAUGAUACGAGAAGAUAGAGAUGAGAGAUUGCACUUAAGGGGUUAGCACCUCUUUUCUUUUUGUGUUUGGUCCCCAAAGCAUAUCUCUUAUUGGCUGAUGUUGCAAGGCGGUCCCAUAAGUUGGGCUAAAAGUGCUUGAUAGCUAGAAUUAAUAUUGUGGUAUAACAUAUGUCACCCCUAUAUUUGAAUAAGGUUACAAAGUGACUACUUGAAGAUUUAAAAAAGCAUGGAGAUAAUUUUGUUGCGAAAAUUAAAAGUAAGAGCUAAAUUGUUUGGCUUUAUUAGAGUAUAGACUCUGUUAGUCUAUUAUCAUUUUGUUAUAUAGGCUGGAAUAUUAUUAGUAAGCAGUUAGCAGCAGUUAGUCAUACAAGUAUAAAUUCUAUUCAUGUAUUGUUCAAAGAUAAGCUAAUAAUACCAGAAGAGAUUUAACAUGUUCAUUCUACUUUUUUUUGUUAUUCUUCAUAAUACAGUUGUUAACAUGGUCUCAGUCGCCAAAUUUCUUGGAGGUUGCUUCUAUUGUAGAUCCAUGGCCAAUUCCACUGAUUCUACCUUCGCUGGUCGUAGCAGUCCCUCAUUCUCAGUUCAUGUUUGGUUCAAUCGUUUCCUCGUCAUGGCACUGUGAAGUUAGAUGAAGGAAAUUUUGUACAAUGGCAACAGCAUAUCCAAUUGAUAAUUGAAGGAUAUGAACUCAUAAGAUUUUUAGAAGGGACGUUACCUGCUCCGCCUCGCUUUGUGUCAUCUCCGGAUGGAAACUUAGCUCUGACUCCCGAUGCAUCCCUGUUUGUUCAGCAAGAUAAGUUACUCGCUUAUUGGUUACUUUUUACGAUUAGUGCUCCUUUGUUUUCUUGUUUUACAACUGCUAAGACGGCGUGUGAGGUUUGGAGCACUGCGAAUUGCCUAUUUGCUGCUGCCACUAGAGCCAAGCUUUCGCGUAUUAAGCAUGAACUCCAGUCCAUCACGAAAGGCGUGAUGACUAUCAAAGAGUAUAUUGCUAAGAUUCAAAAUACUUGUGCGUUACUCGAGGAAUCUAGAUCAGUGGUUUUAAAGGCUGAAAAGGUAGAGAUCAUUCUUGCCGGCCUAUUGUCUGAUUAUGAUGUCGUUUUAACUCUGGCAUCGUUCUCAACUGAAACUUUUUCGUUAUAAAAGAUUGUUGAUAUGCUUCUGGAGUUCGAAAGCCAUCAGACUCAAGCGGUGAACGACGUACCUUUUCAUGCUCAUUUGGUAGAGGCCACUUCGGCGACAUCCGUGGAGGACUCCGUACGUGGUGGUCGUCCUCCUUCUGGUGCUCGUAGGCGCGACUUUCGAUCUCAGCUUCAGUGCCAGGACUAUGGUUGCUAUGGACAUUUGGUACAAUGCUGUUAUUAUCAGUUCAACCGCGACUACAGUGAUCUGUCUGUUUUGACCAUGGCGCGGGUUUCGCCUGUUCAUGCUGAUCACAAUUAGCAUAACGAUGUUUUUGGCGCAAGUGGUCUCUCGACUAGCUGGUUUUCAUCAACUUGUCCUGGUCCGGACCCGUUCGUGCCUGGACAGUAUGUCGAUUCUUUGGUGGUGACACCGGCGUAUUUCUCUUAUGGCUCAUCAUGGUGAGGGUGGCCACAUUUGCAAAACAAUGCCUCCCUUGUGCCAAGUUUGUUGAAUGUUAAGGUUUCUAACCCUUUUGCUCAUAAUUUUGACGAUGGGGCAGGCUAGGUGUUUGGGCUCGCUGUUGGACCAAGCUCAAAUUGUGGCCAAUUUGGUGGUCCUCACUUACCGCGGAGAAUGGGCCAGCACGUUAGGCCAUUUGCUAGUGUUCCUAGGCCGACUGGUUCAGGCCAAGAUUUUGGGCCAUAUGGAAUUCGUAGGCUAACCAGUGCUGGUCCUAACAUUGGACAGGGUUCACUUGGGCCAAAUGUUAAUUUUGUUAGACUUGAGGGCUCUUUUGGGCAUGGACAAGGACUUUGGCCCACCACUGGCAAUGUUUCAGUGCCAAAUAAUGGGUCAUGCGUUCCAUGGCGCACUAAACUGACGGCGCACAUUAUUGAUUGAUUUCUCACUGUGUGUUGGGUUGCCUCACAUUCUUGAUUUUCAUGUGUCUGAUAUUUUUACUACCUCUGGGUCCAAUGCUAACACGACUCCGUAUGGGUCUAAUUUUGAUAAUGAUAACUCUUACAUUCCUAUGCCUGUAGGGACCUUGUCCUGGUGUCUUAAUUCAGGGUCUAUACAUCAUGUCUAUCGAGAAGCCUCUACCUUGAACGAGUCUACGCCAUACUCAGGUACAUCUCCUCUCCUCAUGGAUGAUAUUACUCCUACAAAAAUAUCAUGUGUUGGAAACUCUAUCUUGCCUACGAAGACUAAGCUGUUUCAUCUAUCUAAUGUUUUGUGUGUGCCAAAUAUACGGAAGAAUCUGCUAUCUGUCUCUCAAUUUGCUAAUGACAAUAAUAUGGUCUUUGAAUUUCACCCGUCUUAUUGAGGACAUCCAGACUCAGGAAAUUUUGCUUCGGGGCCACACUCGUGAUGGGCUCUAUUAUUUUUCGUAGGUUACUCAUGUUCCGUCUGUCGUUGUUCCUUCUGUUCACAACACUGGGCUCCAGAGUCGCAAUGCCGGUGAUGAUGUUUUUACGUUAUGGCACUACAGACUUGGUCAUCCGUCUGCCUCGAUUGUUAAACUUGUUCUCGAUAAGUGUCAAGUUGUUUCAACUAAAAUGUACCUUGAAAAUAUUUGUAUUGCUUGUCAAAAGGGGAAGUCCCAUAAACUGUCUUUUUCAAGUUCUACUACUAAAUAUACGGAUUUGUUUGAAUUGGUUGUCUUUGACUUAUGUGGACUGGCAUCUGUUGUCUGUAGAAAUAAUCUGUAUCAUGUUUCGUUUAUCGACAUGUGUAGUUAUUUUACUUGGAUUUAUCUCAUUAAACGUAAUUCUAAGGAGGUUGAAUGUUUUCUUCAGUUUCAGAAAAUGGUCAAAACUCAGUUUGGGAAAGAUAUUAAAAAAAUUCAAAGUGAUUGGGGUGGUGAGUUUCUUGCCUUUACGUCAGUUCUGGCUAGUCAUGGGAUACUUCAUCACCUCUCCUGUCCAUAUACAUCCGAGUAGAACGAUGUAGCUGAACGAAAACAUCGACACAUUGUUGAGAUGAGUCUUAUUCUAUUGGCCAAAGCUAACCUAUCCAUGGAUUUCUGUGGUUUCGUAUUUUACAAUGCCAUUCAUCUCAUUAGUCUUCUACCGACCCUAGUUCUGAAAGGUCAGUCUCCAUAUCAGGUUCUUCAUGGUAGUGACCCUACAUAUGAUCAUUUACAAGUAUUUAAGUGUUGUUGAUUUUCGUACCUGCGUCUGUUUCUGCAACACAAGUUGGAUUUUCAUUCUCAGCCAUGCAUAUUUUUUAGGUAUAGUUCUCAACAUAAAGGCUAUCACUGCCUCACACCAAAUGGUAAGGUCAUUGUCUCUCGUCAUGUUGUGUUUGAUGAACGUUGGUUUUUCUUUUCUUCAAAUGCUGUGAACACCGUUCAGUUAAGUCCAUGUAUCUCUACAUAUGUUCCUAUUGUUCGGUCUUCAUCUUGCCGCCCCACGACAUCUUCGCUUGUUCGACCCACUGAGUCAUCGACUCUUGCUCCUAAUUGUAGUUCCACGCUGUCUGUUUCAGUUGACACUCCGGCUGAAUUAGGUUUUACUCAUGAGGUGCAUCGGCUCUCUACCUCAUCCCUUGAAUCUCGUCAAUGCGAUCCAACUACAAUUCCAUUGGCUGUUCCAUCUAUUUCUCUGGAAUACUCAUAACACUAUUACUCAGCUAGACCCAAAGCUCUGUCUGUUGAAAUUGUCAACUGUGAGUCGAUCACGAUUGAAGAGGCGCUCGCUAGUAAGGAAUGGCAAUUAGUUGUCCAAGCUGAGUUUGUUGCUAUAAUGGUUAACUCCACUUGGGAGCUUGUUCCCUUACCUCAUGGUCGAAAAGUGAUUAGGUGUAAGUGGCUUUUUAAAAUAAAAAAAUCCUGAUGGGACUAUCACUUGACGUAAGGCUCGGUUGGAAGCAAAGGGUUGUUCUCAGGUACUCAGGUGUGAUUUCAAGGAAACCUUUAGUUUGGUAGUUAAACCUGCUACUAUUAGAACCAUAUUAUCUGUUGCUAUCUCCAACGGUUGGCAAUUUGGUCAGGUAGAUGUGAACAAUGCUUUUUUAAAUGGUGAUCUUAUUGACGAAGUGUUCAUGCAGCAACCUCUAGGCUAUGUUCAGAUUGGUCAAAAUGGUGAGCCCUUGGUGUAUCAUUUGACAAAGGUGUUGUACAGAUUAAGACAAGCUCCACGUGCUUGGUUUGAUAAAUUGAAACGUUUUUUUGUUUCUAUUGGAUUUGCUUUAUCCAAAUCUGAUGUAUCCUUAUUUGUUCAAGUUAAUUCGAAUCCACUAUUUAUGUUUUAGUCUAUAUGGAUGAUAUUAUCGUUACUAGAAGUACGAUCGACGGUAUAAAUGGCUGUAUUCAAUAGUUACAUAAUGUGUUUCCCUUAAAGAUAUGGGAGAUCUUUACUACUUCUUAGGCAUUGAAGUCACUCGGUAGUCCACUGGGAGUCUCCAUUUGUGCCAACGCAAAUACAUUCGGGAUCUUCUUGACAGUAGUUUUUUAGCUAAUGCAAAGAGUGUUCACACACCGAUGGUUAGUUCUUUUACGUUGUUUAAAGAUGUGGGAGAUCGCCUCGUUGAUCCUACUGGAUAUAGAAGUCUUGUCGGUGUAUUACAAUAUGUGGUCUUGACUCUGCCUGAUAUUGCUUAUGCUAUAAAUCAUGUUUGUCAAUUCAUGCAUGCCCCUACUACAGUACAUUUGGUGGCUUUGAAAAGAAUCUUGCACUAUUUAUGUGACACUAUUAAUCAUGGGUUAAUUUUGUCUGUUCAACAUAUUGUCUUUAGUUGGCUAUGCUAAUGCCAACUGGGGACUGGAUUUUGAUGAUCGUAAAUCAACAACAAGCUAUUGUUUGUAUUUUGGGUAUACACCCAUCUCUUGGUGAUCUAAGAGACAACUCUACUGCGUGAGGCGAAGUAUUUUGGCCGCACCAUGGCUGAGGUGAAGUAUCGAAGUCUAGCAACAACUACCAGUGAUGUUACUUGGUUAGUCUCUCUACUAACAAAAUUACAGAUUCAUUCUAUAGAUCCACAUACUAUUUGGCGUGACAACUCUAAUGCAGUAGCGGUCAUUGCUAAUCCGGUCUGACACUCUAAAUUUAAACAUGCCAAGCUUGAUCUAUUUUUUGUUCGCGAAAAGGUCGCUAAUGGUUCUCUCGUUGUCGGUGAGAUUCUAGCAUGUGAUUAAGUUGCUGACAUUCUCACAAAACCACUGUUCGUCUCUACUUUUGCUAGGUUUCGUAGUCUGCUUCAAUUCUUACCUCUUGAGAAGCUGGGUGAAGCCAGGUGAAUAUUAGAGUAUAGACUCUGUUAGUCUGUUACCAUUUUGUUAUUCAGGCUGGAAUAUUGUUAGUAAGCAGUUAGUCAUAGCAGUUAGUCAUACAAUUAUAAAUUCUAUUCAUGUAUUGUUCAAAGGUAAGCUAAUAAUACCAAAAGAGAUUUAAUGUGCUCAUUCUACUUUCUUUGUUAUUCUUCAUAAUACAGUUGUUAACAUGCUUGAUAUCAUCUCUUAGAGAGAACGAGGAGAGAUAAGAGUAAGAGUAUGAGCCAACUAGGGAUAAGGCUCUACCAUAAUACCUUGGAUGCAAUUAAAGUAAGAGUAAGAGCCAACUUGUUUGGCUUGAUAGCAUCCCCUUAUAGAAAAGGCUCUACCGCAUGGCAUGAGAGCAAUAAAAGUAACACUCAAUUUCUUGGGUUGAUAGCAUCUCCUUAGGGAAAAGGGUUUACCAUGUGACAUGAAAGCAAUUAAAGUAAGAGUAAGAUCCAACUUGUUUGUCUUAAUAGCAUCAUUUAAGAGAAAUAUCCCAAUCAAUUUAUUCAAAUAUGUUAAUCAAAUAAUGCAAGUUACAAUGUUCUGUCAGUUUUUCCUUUAAUUGUAACUGGGUUAAAGUUGGUAGUUGUAACUGCUACUAAUAGAAUGGAUACGGUAGAAAUGGUUGCAAGCAACAUAAGCAAAGAUGACUUUAAUGUCUUUGUAUUGACCACGUGAGAACUAUAGAAUGCAGAGAAUAGUAUGGUGAUUGGCAACAGAAUGCUACUAACCUUGAGGAUAGUAGACAGGGAUGGAUCCACGGGGGUUGGGGGCGGUCCCCCCUUGGAAUUUUUAAAAUUUUAAAUUUUAUAUAUAAAUUAUCAUGUAUUUUAAAUUUGGUGUCCACAUUGUAUAGCAUUCACCCCCCUUUUCCAAAUUGCAUUUCAUAUCAUUUGCCCUCUUAAGCCAUAAGGUUAUACUUUAUAUUAACAAAGUAUUUUCCAUUUUUUAAUUAUAUAAAUUUAAUAAUAAUAAUAAUAAUCAAAUAUUAAUAUAUGAUUGGCAUUGAAAGACUAAACAUAAAGGUCCAGUUGAGACUUUAAAGCCAAAUUCCAUAAUUAAUUAAUUGAUUUGGCCCAUACCAGUACAUAUUAGGUUAGCGAAAUUCUUGUAUUUUGAUUUGUAUGUCUUGCUAAGGAAUUAUCUUCCUUUGGUAAGGUGUUGACACUGCCAAGAGAAAAAGAAAGGAUUUUGAUGUCGAGAUUGUGAGCAUAGAGUAAAAAAAAUACAAAUUAUCUUCCUCUUAGCUCCUUAUGGAAAAAACCUCUCGGUAAAUAUUUUUGCAUAAAUUAUGUUUUUUAUUAAUUUGACUUAGUUUUUUUCUUUUUUCCUAAUACAUUGUUGUUUAAUAUAUUCUUACAAUCAUCAGGUUUUUUGACUAAAUUAUGGUCAAUAAAAACAUCGAAUCUAUUUAAAAAAAAAGAGUGUCAGAAAGCAAUAAUGAUCAACCGGUUCCUCAACCUUCCAUUAUUAGUGAAGAAAAAUCAAAUAUCGGAUCUUCCAAAGCUCUUGAACAAAAUAUCAGGUCUUCUUAAGCCCAAGCUCCUAAAUGCGGUAUGGAGUCUUCCCCAACUCCUGAACGAGAUUGUAACAAUCCAUACCCAAUUCGAUCACCAAAUCCAAGUAGAGAGCGCCGCAACUUAAACCAUAUGAAUUGAAUAAUAAAUAUUUGAAAUUUAUUAAAGUAUCGAGUUCUUGGUGUAACCCUCAGUAUAACAAUACGAAACAAUUAAAUCAAUGAUACGCCAGGAAAAAAUGUUUUUAGGCAAAACACAUGGCGGAAGCCUUACAAAAUUUUAUAAGUUUAUAUAAAAUGUAAGAUGAGUUAAUCCCAUACAACAGUUUCAAGUGCAUCGUUGGCGGUUAAAAGAACAUUCAAAAACUAUUCGGCGUAUAUGCCAAUGAGACAAUCACGUGGAACAAGAUAUAGUAGCUUAAACACAUACAUCACUUACCACGUCAUCAUAACAUAUACUAACCAUAUAAACAAACUUAUCGAGCUGCGAACUAACAAGUUCACCCAAACAUCUAGGGUUAGCGAUAACUUAUUAGAAGAGCCCGCCAAACCCUAGAGUUCGCCAAAACCUGGAGUUCACCAAAUGGCGACUCCCAUAGAAUACGCCAAACACACAACCAAAAAUAAAUACUCUACUAAUUUACUCAUUUUAUAUUCUUAGCAUAAACAACUAUGCACCAAACAGUAACUUGAUACAUUAUCUUUCGGGCGAGUUGUUACAAUUCUCCCCCAUUUAGAAACUUUUGUCCUUGAAAUUCUUACCGGUGAAUAACUGAGGAUAUUGUUCUUUCAUCGAACUCUCUCUUUCCCAAAUGGCUUCUUUUGUAUUGUGAUUUAUCUAUAAUACAUUAACCAAAGGAAUUCUUUUACUUCUCAACUCUUUUACUUCCCUUGCUAAAAUACAAACAGGUUCUUCUUCAUAGGACAAGUUUUGCUCCACUUCCAGUGCUUUGACUUGUACCACAUAAUCUGGAUUGGAUUGAUAUUUUCUUAACAUAGAUAUAUUAAACACAUUAUGUAUAUUUGAUAACUCUGGUGGCAACACCAGUUUGUAUGCCACUGGACCAACUUAUUCCAAAAUCUCAUAUGGUUCUAUGAAAUGCAGACUUAAUUUCCCUUUUUGUUCAAACCUUAUGAUCUUCUUCCAAAGAGAAAACUUCAUAAAUGCAUUGUCACCCACUUCGAAAGAGAUUAUUUUCCUUUUUAGAUCAGCAUAAGCUUUCUGGCGAUCUUAAGUUACUUUCAGAUGAUUUCUAAUGAUAAAGACUUUCUCUUCUGUUUCUCAUACUAAAUCAAGACCAACUAUUUUCCUUUUACUGAGUCUCAUCCAAUAGGUAGGAGAUCUGCACCUUCGUCUAUACAAAGCUCCAAAUGGUAACAUUCCCAGACUGUCAUAAUAACUAUUAUUAUACGCAAACUCUAGCAAAGGAAGAUAUCUUUCUCAAUUCAUUCUAAAAUCUAUAAUACAACCUCUAAACAUGUCUUCUAGAACUUGAAAUACUCUUUCAAAUUGCUCAUCGAAUUAGGGAUGAAAGGUAGUACAGAAUCAUUAUUUCGUUCCCAACGAUUCUUGCAGUUGUCUCCAAAAUCUCAAUGUAAACAUUGGGUCUCGAUCUGAAACUAUGGAUGUUGGAAUCCCAUGAGGCGUACAACUUCAGAAACGUAGAGAUUAGCCAACUUUUCCAAUAAGUAAUUUGUGCGGACAAACAAGAUAUGGGCUAACUUAGUAAGUCGAUCUACAAUUACCUAGACUGAGUACUUCUUCGAAAGGAUGAGAGGGAGAGCCAAAACAAAAUCCAUGGUGAUCUUAUCCCACUUCCACAUAGAUAUCUCUAAAAGGUACAACUUGCCUAAGGGAACCUGAUGUUCUAUUUUAAUCUGCUGACAUGUCAAACAAAUGGAAAUGUACUUUGUUAUUUCUUUCUUCAUUUCAAGUCAGUAAUACAAACUUAUCAAAUUAUGAUACAUUUUAUGUAAAACUCUCAACCCAACUCGAAAUGUCGAGUCUGGAUCUCGGGUAUUACUAUACAUAAUACUUGGCAAAAUAUCAAAAUAGUUGACAAAUACUCUUUAUAGAAAACAUUUUCUUAUUAUUUUAACCAAAAGACUAAAUAUUUAAUAACAAGAGAAAAUAUUAAAAACAAAAAAAAAUUAUUACAUCAGACUUGGUACAACUCAUUAUAGUAUAAAAUUUUGUUAAAGACAUACUCUUGGGGCAUAACCCUAAUCUAAGCCACUUUUCCACUAUAUGCAUAAUAACCCACUUCGCCACUAUCUUGGCGUACUCCUAGCAUCGUCACUCCUAAUGCAUUCUCUACCCAUACACCUGAAAACAACAACAUUUUAAGCUUAAGAUAACUUAGUGACUUUUAUCCCAAAAAUACCUUGGCGAGUACUUUAUAUUAUUUGAAGAACAUUUGUGCGCCAUCUAUCCUUCUGAACCACCUUCUUCUGAAUUAAGUGGAUACUAUUAUAGAUUCAACUUUCACUUACACGCCAACUAUCAUACUCUUAACAAACUCACUUAUUCUAGAAUAGUUGUUCACAUAUAUUAAUCACUAAUUGAUACAUUCAUAUUUGGCGAAUACUUACGCAGAUCUGAAUACCAUCAAACUACUAAUCAAAUCAUACCUUGAUCCGAUACCAUACAAACUCAUACUGAUAAUGUACUACACAAAUUAUUCAAAUGAAUUUUCCACUACUUUGUUACAGGACCCCAGAUAAUCAUCAUAACAAUAACUCAAUUUUCAUAUGAUUUCAGAAGAAGAUAUAAUACAACCCAAAUACGGCAAAUUCCAGAUAACUCAGAUUCAACAACUGCUUAACACAUACGAACUCACAUUUAUAAUUUCUUAUGUCCCACAUAACUACGACUAUGUCUAUAUUCAACACUAACAAAUAAUCAUGACGGAUACCCUUCUUAUACAUAUAUGCAUUUCUUUUCUAGAAAUCUCUUAAGACUUACUCAAUUAUAUCACAUAUCUUAUUCAACCCUUAACUUUAGACAUAUCAUAACCCUAUCAUAUCAAUAUCUAUCACAAAAAAAAUCAGGAUUUAUCCAAAACUUACCAUAAAGGUAGAUAAUCAUAUUAUAUCAGACAAACUUAACUAAAUGUGCCACAAAGGCCAAACAAAAUAUGCCUUAAAGGCUUCAUACAAAAUCACGUGUUUACUAUCCCGACGGACUAUCACAAAAGGUGUCAUGGGUUUCUCCCACAUGGACUUAUACAUAAUUUCAUGUAUUGUGAUCUGCCAUUUUGAAUCAUACGUUAUCGAAGGAUACUCCAUAAGCAUACAUACAGACAUAUCUUGCCAUGUGUCUCAGCCACAUGGCUUAAACACACAUUCAUGUACUGUGAUAUGUCAAUCCAGUCUUACUCUUAUUAGAGCCUACACCAUGAGUGUUUUCAAAUCAUAUUAAGAUGUUGUAGGUCUCAACCUCAUAGUCUUACACUUGUUUUCAUAUCGUGACCUGCCAGUCUAGUUAGCAAUAUAAUUGCCUACCAGAGGCUUCAUAGAGGAACAUUUGCUUAGAUUCACUUACCUAGAUGAUCUGUAACACCCCUUACCCGAGACCGUUGUCAGAGUCGAGCACGAGGUAUUACUUAUCUUAUCUUACUAACUCGAAGCAUAAAAACUUGUUUUAAAAAUUAAUUUCACUAUUUAUAGCAAUUUGUCCAAUCGCGCAGCAGUUACUAAAUUAAUUAUAACUCGAGAUACGGAACUUGAAAUUUAACUCCGUAAAUUUUCCCUGAAACUAGACUCAUAUAUCUUCCUACCAUAAAAAUUUUAGGAUUUUUAGUUUAUCAAAUUAGUACAGUUUAUUAGUUAAAUUCUCCCCUGUUUCACAAAUCGACUGCCCUGACCUCUUAUCACUAAAAAUAAAAUGUAUCAUUGUGGGAUUUUCGUAUAGUGCUACCGCUUGCUUCUACAGAAAAUAGACUCAAUAAGGAAUCUAUACAUAUAAACUACAACUCAUAAAUAUUUUUUUAAAAUUUUUAAUGAUUUUAUAAACUCAAAACAGGGGUCACCAAAAACUGUUCUAACCCUGUCUCACCAAAAUUCACAUAUCUUAAAAUAUAAAUUCCUUUUGCUACACCGUUAUUUUUAUGUGAAAAUAGACUCAACAAGAUUUAUGUCAUUCAAUAUUUAAUUCAUUUUAUACUAUCCUAGGUGAUUUUUCAAAGUCACGUCACUGUUGCUGCCUGAAUUCUGUUUCUUUGCAAAAUUUUACCCUUUUAUGAUUUCCAUGCAUAGUUUAUCACUUAGACUCUUAUAACAACAAACACUUCCAUACUUAACCAUUUUAGCAACCAUUCAUCAUCAAAUACUUACACAUCAUUCUUUAGCAAGAUCAUAAAUACAAACAUUUAAAAUAACUAAAUCCCUUUACAUUCCAUACUCAACAUGGUUCAACAUAAAAAUACCGAGUUGCUGUGGUUGAUAGUGUGGACGAUCUCCGACUUCUUUAGGAUCCUUGAAGUAACCUUGCAAUACUAUAAGAGAAAGAGAAAUAAAAGACGUAAGCAUAAAGCUUAGUAAGUUUACUAGCAAAUAAAUAACAAUAUUUAACUAGAUAAUUAAACUCAAGUGUCUAUAUCUCUAGUUUACUAUUUAGUUAAUCUCAUUCUAGUUCUCUUGCUUGUUUACUUAGUAUACUUGUGUGCAUAACUUACUCCUCUCUUGCUGUAUAGUUGAAUAUCAAUUGAUAAUAUAAUAAGUUAUUAACUCUUAUAACUUACCUGAACUUGCCAUUUAUGUUUUUAACUGAACUUUCCUGAACAUGAUUCGUUAUUUAGCCCGUUGAGCUACAUUGGAACAAUAAGGAUACUCGGGUCUCUUCUGAUAAUAACAUGCCAAAGCCAUGUCCCAGACAUGGUCUUACAUGGGAUGUACUCAUGUCGGUGCCCAUUCCAUAUCCCAGACAUGGUCUUACGGGGGACCUCUCAUCUCGGUGCCAAUGCCAUGUCCCAGACAUGGUCUUACAUGGGACCUCUCAUCUCGGUGCCAACGCCAUGUCCCAGACAUGGUCUUACAUGGGACCUCUCAUCUCGGUGCCAACGCCAUGUCCCAGACAUGGUCUUACAUGGGACCUCUUUACCCAAAUGUCAUGACAUUCGUAUCCAGUACCAUCCUUACUAUUCAUGACAACCGAUAUAUAUAUAUACAUACUCACUAUUCACAAGGACUCGAACGAUUAUAUACUCAUCAACCACCUUAAAACAAUGUUCAUAAACUUAUCCAUUUCAUAUAAACAAAAGCAUAUAUAUUUAUAACCAAUGCAUAGAAUCACUUAAUUUAAACAGAUUCACUGGCACUUCACCUGAUAGGCUUAUAGUUUAAUUCAGUUCACCGGCACUUAGCCUACUAGGCUUGUAGCCUGAUUCAGUUCACCGGCACUUAGCCUGCUAGACGUAUAGUCCGAUUCAAUUCACCGGCAUUUAGCCUGCUAGACGUAUAGUCUGAUUCAAUUUACCGGCACUUAGCCUGCUAGACGUAUAGUCUGAAUAAUUUUACUGGUAAUAAAUCCGAUAGUAAUUUCUCCGUUGAAAUUGAAUUAUAUUCAAUUCUGCGUAACAAACAUGCACUUAAAACAUACUUGCAUAAUUCACAACAAUAAUUUCAGUCCAAAGAGCUGUAAUUCAUAUUCGAACUAUAUAUAUAUAAAUCCAUACAUAAAAAUUCAACUCAAAAUUUAUAACCUAUAUCUUUGAACCACAUAGGUACAUGAAAUUCAAACACCAAAAUCCAGCUCAAUAACUUCAUGAUUCAACCUAACAAAUUUAUGUAUAUAACUUUUUAUCUAAUUUCAAUACAAUAACUUAUACAUGUACGUAUAUACAUAUUCGAAUCUAACAUAUACAUAUAUAAUUUCAUACUUAAAUAUAUUCAAGACUUAUUCAUGAGUAUACAUAUAUAUUACAACUCACAUGUACAUAUAUAUACACAUUCAUACCUUUAACCAAGUCCAAGGCUUUAUACAUGUAUAUGCUUAUAUAUAUAUAUUCGGACCUUAUGUUUACAUAUAUAUAUUAUAUAAAUACCUUUGAUUAAAAACAAGUAUUUAUACAUAUAUAUAUUUUCGAACAUGAUACAUAUAUAUUUAUAUCAUUCAUACUUAAACAAAAUUCAAUCCAUAUACUUUCAAUUUCAGCUCACCAAAUUACUAUAGAUAUACAUGCAUAUAUACUGAUUUAAUAACCUCAAAUUGCUAAUAGACUUACCUCGGAUAUCAGCGGACACGAUCGAGUAUUCGAUUACUUUCGUUUUUCCCCGAUCCAAAUUCGUUUUCUUCGUUUUUUAUCUUAAUUAGACCUAGAGAUAGCCGAACCUUGUUGUUCUCUUUUCUUUUCUUUUCUUUUUCUUUUCUAUAUUCGGCCAAGAUGAAGAACAUGGCAUUUAAAAUUUGUUAUAUUAAACAUAUAUUAGCCUUAUUUUUAAUUUACUAUAUUAACCUUUACAUAUAUAUAACAUAUAUAAUAAGGUUACAUUAGUCCUUUGCCACCCACUAACUUACAUAGUGGACUAAUUGCAUAGUAAAACCUCUAAAUUAUAAAGACAACAAGAAUUAGGUCCUUUUAUAAUUAACCCCUAAAUUUUCAUUUUACGCGAUUAAGCCCUUUUAUUAAAUCGGACACUUAAACGACGAAAUUAAAACACGAAAAUUUCACACAAUCAAAUGCAUACAAAACAAUAUUAAUAAUAUUUUUCUAAUUCAAAUUUGUGGUCCCGAAACCAGUAUUCUGAUUAGGGUCAAAAACCGGGUUGUUACAACUCUCCCCCCUUAGGGAUUUUCGUCCCCGAAAAUCUUACCGGUGAAUAGGUUUGGAUAACGCUCUUUCAUUGUAUCUUCUAACUCCCAAGUUGCUUCUUCAACCCCAUGUUUAUGCCACAACACUUUAACUAACGGAAUUUUCUUAUUUCGUAAUUCUUUGAUCUCACGAGCCAGAAUGCUAAUCGGUUCUUCCUCAUAUGUCAUAUCAGAGUUAAUUUCAAUCUCCGUCGGACUAAUCACAUGUGAAGGAUCAGAUCGGUAUCUACGAAGCAUCGAAACAUGGAAUACGUUAUGAAUCUUUUCUAACUCAGGCAGUAACAUCAAUCUAUAAGCAACCAAUCCAACUCGCUCUAUAAUCUCAUACGGUCCAAUGAAUCUCGGACACAAUUUGCCUUUACGACCAAAUCUGAGUAUUUUCUUCCACGGUGAGACUUUUAAAAACACUUUAUCCCCGAUCUGAAAUUCUAUAUCCUUUCUUUUCAAAUUCGCAUAAGAUUUCUGACGAUCCGAUGCUGAUUUCAGACUGUCCCGAAUCACUUUCACUUUCUGUUCGGUCUCUUUAAUCAAAUCAACCCCGUGUAUCUUAUUUUCACUGAGCUCGGUCCAAUACAGUGGUGUACGACAUUUACAACCGUACAAAGCCUCAUAAGGUGCCAUUUUGAUACUAGAUUGAAAGCUAUUAUUAUAAGCAAAUUCAAUCAAAGGUAAGUAUCGUUCCCACGUACCUUCAAACUCGAGAAUGCAACAUCUCAACAUAUCCUCAAGUAUCUGAAUGAUUCAUUCAGAUUGACCAUCUGUCUGCGGAUCGAAAGCUGUGCUAAAAUGUAGUUUCGUACCUAAAGCAUCUUGUAGUUUCUUCCAAAAUCGCGAUGUGAAUCUCAGAUCUCUGUCUGAAACAAUAGAAAUAGGUACACCAUGCAACCUCACAAUUUGUGAAAUAUACAAUUCCGCAAGUUUAUCGAGCGAAAAAUCUGUACGAAUCGAAAUAAAAUGUGUCGAUUUUGUCAACCUAUCAACAAUAACCCAGAUUGCAUCUAUCUUGCUCGGUGUCAACGGUAAAUCGGAUACAAAAUCCAUCGUGACUCGAUCCCAUUUCCAUUGAGGUAUCAUGAUCGGCUGAAGCAACCCAGAUGGUACCUGAUGCUUGGCUUUAACUUGCUGACAAAUUAAACAUUUCGAAACAAAGUCAGAAAUGUCUCGUUUCAUACCUUGCCACCAAUAGUGCUGUUUCAGAUCGUUAUACAUUUUCGUGCUACCCGGAUGAACAGAAAAUCGACUACUAUGAGCUUCCUUCAAAAUCAUCUAAAUUAACUCUGAUUUUUUCGGAACACAUAAUCGGUUUCUAAAUCUCAAACAAUCCUCAGCAUCAACUAAAAACUCCGAAUCAAUAUUUAAGUCACAUUGAGCUCGUUUUGCAGUUAAAUCAUUAUCGACCUUUUGAGCUUCACAAAUCUGUUGUACAAAUAACGGUUUUGCUUUCAACUCAGCUACUAUCGCACCAUCAUCAGACAUAACCAUAUGUGCGUUCAUUGCACGCAAAGCAAACAGUGAUUUUCGACUUAGGGCAUCAGCAACAACAUUAGCCUUUCCCGGAUGAUAGUCAAUCACAAGCUCGUAUUCUUUCAGCAAUUCUAACCAUCGACGCUGUCUCAAAUUCAGAUAUUUCUGAGUCAUCAAAUAUUUCAGGCUUUUGGGAUCGGAAUAAACAUGACAUCUUUCACCAAACAGAUAGUGACGCCAUAUUUUUAACGCAAAUACAAUAGCGGCCAAUUCCAGAUCAUGUGUCGGAUAGUUUUUUUCAUGCGGCUUUAACUGUCUCAAGGCAUAGGCUACAACUUUGCCUUCCUACAUCAAAACACAACCCAAACCAUUUAAAGAUGCAUCACUAUAGAUAACAAACUCUUUACCCGAUUCGGGUUGAACUAAGACUGGAGCUUCGGUCAAAAGAACUUUCAACUGAUCAAAGUUUUUCUGACACUUUUCUGACCACUCGAACUUAACGUCUUUUUGUAGUAGCUUUGUCAUCGGGGUCGCAAUCAUAGAAAACCCUUUCACGAACCGUCUAUAAUAACCAGCGAGCCCCAGAAAGCUUCGAACAUCAGAGACAUUUCUCGGAGGUUUCCAAUCAAGUAUAGCUGAAAUUUUACCUGGAUCAACUCGAAUACCCGAUGCUGACACAACAUGGCCCAGAAAACUAACUUCACGUAACCAGAACUCGCAUUUACUGAACUUUGCAUACAACUGUUUAUCUCGCAAAGUUUGUAACACAAGUCUCAGAUGUUCAGUAUGCUCGGUUUCAUCACGAGAGUAGAUCAAAAUAUCAUCUAUAAAUACUACCACAAAUCGAUCCAGAUACUGUCUAAAAAUCUGAUUCAUCAAAUCCAUGAAAACAGCAGGUGCAUUAGUAAGUCCAAAAGGCAUAACCAAGAACUCAUAAUGUCCGUACCUCGUUCGGAAAGCUGUCUUUGGCACAUCAGAGUCUUUAACUCGCAACUGAUAGUAGCCUGAUCUCAGAUCUAUCUUCGAAAACACAGUAGCCCCUUUCAACUGAUCGAACAAAUCAUCAAUCCGUGGUAACGGAUACUUAUUCUUUAUAGUCACCUUAUUGAGUUGCCGGUAAUCAAUGCACAUUCUCAUUGUUCUGUCUUUCUUUUUCACAAAUAGAACUGGUGCACCCCAAGGAGAGAAACUCGGUCGUGUAAAACCUUUAUCAGUCAACUCUUGCAACUGUACUUUCAAUUCUUUUAAUUCGGUCGGUACCAUACGGUACGGAGCUAUCGAAAUUGGAGUUGUCCCUGGUACUAACUCAAUACCAAACUCUACCUCUCGAAUAGGUGGCAAACCCGGUAAUUCUUCGGGAAACACGUCUGAAUACUUACACACUACUGGCACAGAUUCAAUCUUCUUUUCGGUCACUUUACUAUCAAGAAAAAAUGCAAGGUAAUCUUCACAACCUUUUCUCACAUACUUCUGAGCCGACAUCGAGGAUAUUAUUGCUGGUAAACCAUUCAGAUCAUUAGAUUCAAUCCGAAUAAUCUCAUCAUUCUGACACCGUAGAUCAAUAGUUUUCCGUUUGCAGUUUACUAUAGCAUUAUGCAGAGUUAACCAAUCCAUACCCAGAAUUAUAUCAAACUCGUCAAAUGGUAGCAACAUCAAAUCAGCCAGAAAACAUAAAUCUCGAAUCAUCAACGGACAAUUCUUGCACACUUUGUCAACCAAAACACACCGGCCCAAGAGGUUCAAUACUUUAAUUACAAACUCAGUAGACUCAACAGGCAAAGUCUUACUGAAUACUAAAGUCUCACACACAUAAGAAUGAGUCGAACCAAGAUCAAUCAAUGCAAUAACAUUAGUAUCAUAAAGAGUGAAAGUACCAGUAAUAACAUCUGGAGAAGAAGCCUCCUCCCGAGCACGGAUGGCAUAUGCUCUGGCAAGUGCACGAGCCUCAGAUCGAACUGCCAUGUCCUUUGUUCCUCUCUGACUGCCACUUACAUUACUCAAUUGCCUCGGCGGUCUACCUCGUACAGGUACUUUACUCGGUCUGGUAUUCUACACAGUGUUUUGCUCAGCUACCAUCGGACACUCUCGAAUGAAAUGAUCCUUUGAACCGCACUUAAAGCAAGACCGAUCAUGUAAUCUGCAAUCUCCAGGAUGCCAUUUCCCACAAUGCUUGUACUCUGAUCUAUUUUGUCGAACACUACCAACGCUAGCAACUGAAGUAGCUCGUGAACUCACAGGGGGUCGAUCUCGAUCAUACUUAGGAAACCCUGCAGUAGCUUUAGAUCGGCUAUGAUCCUCUCUGGAUUUCAUUGAGGUCGACUGGAAUGAUUUACUGAAUGAUCUUUUACGAGAAUCUCGAGCUUCAUAGCCAGCUUUCCUCUUCUCUUUACUGAGCUCCUUAACUUUACAAGGUCGUUCAACAAGUACUACGAACUCUUUUAUCUCAAGUAUACCAAAUAACAGUUUAAUAUCUUCAUCCAGCCCAUCUUCAAAUCUUUUACACAUGAUAGCUUCAGUCGAAAUACAUUCUCGAGCAUAUCUACUGAGUCUCACAAAUUUCCGCUCAUAUUCUAUCACUGUCAUACGACCCUGUUUCAAUUCAAGAAAUUCCUUAUGCUUCUGAUCAAUGAAUCUUUGGCUGAUGUAUUUCUUACAGAACUCAAUCUGAAAGAAUUCCCAGGUCACUCGCUCUUUCGGAACCACCGAUACUAGUGUAUUCCACCAGUGAUAUGCAGUGUCCCGUAGCAAAGAUAUGGCACAUUUCAAGUACUCAUCAGGGGUGCAAGAUAACUCAUCAAACACUCGAAUAGUAUUAUCAAGCCAGAAUUCAGCUUGCUCAGCAUCAUCAUCAUCAGUAGCUCUGAACUCUUCGACCCCGUGUUUUCAAAUUUAGUCAACAGGAGGCUUAAGUAAUCUCAUCGGAUCACUUACUUGAGGUAUAAUAGGAAUCGAAGGUGGAUUAGUCGGGGGUGGAGUUUGUUGUGCAACCGGAUUAGUUCGGACAUAUUGAGUAAACCAGUCAUUCAUCAUUUGGUAGAAGGCUUGUUUAGCCUCUCCCUCCUGGUUACUCGAGGUCGGUCGAGAAUCUACCAGCUCUGUCCCUUGUGUGGGAGCAGGCGCUAUACUCUCAACAUCAUCGACUACGGCUGGAUCGGGAUCCAUUACUAUACGAAAACACAUUUUUAGACAUCAGCAGUCAUCGCACUAUCUUGGUAUAAAAAUAUGGCAUGUAUAGCUAGACUCAUACAUGCUACAUUAGUCCAAGAAUCGAUUAAACCGUAGCUCUGAUACCAAUAAAAUGUAACACCCCUAACCCGUAUCCGUCGCCGAAUUAGGGUUACGAGGCAUUACUGAACAAAUACAACCAUUUUUAAAACCAACUGAUCACAAACAUGAAAAUUAAAUCAUUUUCACAUAGCUAUUUAUAAUUUACAAUCAACAUCUAACCAACAUCGUACUCAAACCUAUACAUGCCAUAAGAUCAAGUUCAAAUAUUUAACAAAAUACCAAAAGGGGUCGAAAGUGUGAUAGACUAUGCUGAUGAUCCCCGAGCUCGUAACGCAUCUCCAAAAUCUAUAAAAACAAAUGGACAAAAACAAUCAAAGUAAGCUUUUAUAGCUUAGUAAGUCUAUAGCAUAUCUAAAAUACAUAUAAAAGAAUCAUAUAAUUCUUAAAAUAAAUUUAUUGAAAUCACAAUUAUCAAUUAUAAUUACUAAUCGAACAUUGCUAUAUUAAGUCAUCUUGUUUAAAUCUAAAAGGAUGUGUAUUUAUCUAAUACACAUGAACGGACAAAUGUAUAUACAUUAUAUGCAUAUAAUCAAUUUACUAACAUAAUCAUUAAUUGCAUAUACGGAUUUCUAUAGUACUUAUUGUUCGCACUUAAUCGGAUCCAUUUAAAUAUAAUUGUUCAAAUACAUAUACCAAAAGCAUAAUAAUUUUAUACUUGAUCAACUAUAAGUGCCGAAUGCACAUAUACACCUAUACCCACCUAUGCCGAAUGCAUACAUAUAUACACAUAUAUAUAUAUCCAACAAUUUCGUGACAACCGAUAUAUAUAUACAUACUCACUAUUCACAAGGACUCGAACGAUUAUAUACUCAUCAACCACCUUAAAACAAUGUUCAUAAACUUAUCCAUUUCAUAUAAACAAAAGCAUAUAUAUUUAUACCCAAUGCAUAGAAUCACUUAAUUUAAACAGAUUCACUAGCACUUCACCUGAUAGGCUUAUAGUUUAAUUCAGUUCACCGGUACUUAGCCUACUAGGCUUGUAGCCUGAUUCAGUUCACCGGCACUUAGCCUGCUAGACGUAUAGUCCGAUUCAAUUCACCGGCAUUUAGCCUGCUAGACGUAUAGUCCGAUUCAAUUUAUCGGCACUUAGCCUGCUAGAUGUAUAGUCUGAAUAAUUUUACUGGUAAUAAAUCCGAUAGUCAUUUCUCCGUUGAAAUUGAAUUAUAUUCAAUUCUGCGUAACAAACAUGCACUUAAAACAUACUUGCAUAAUUCACAACAAUAAUUUCAGUCCAAAGAGCUGUAAUUCAUAUUCGAACUAUAUAUAUAAAUCCAUACAUAAAAAUUCAGCUCAAAAUUUAUAACCUAUAUCUUUGAACCACAUAGGUACAUGAAAUUCAAACAACAAAAUCCAGCUCAAUAACUUCAUGAUUCAACCUAACAAAUUUAUGUAUAUAACUUUUUAUCUAAUUUCAAUACAAUAACUUAUACAUGUACGUAUAUACAUAUUCGAAUCUAACAUAUACAUAUAUAAUUUCAUACUUAAAUAUAUUCAAGACUUAUUCAUGAGUAUACAUAUAUAUUACAACUCACAUGUACAUAUAUAUACACAUUCAUACCUUUAACCAAGUCCAAGGCUUUAUACAUGUAUAUGCUUAUAUAUAUAUAUAUUCGGACCUUAUGUUUACAUAUAUAUUAUAUAUAAAUACCUUUGAUUAAAAACAAGUAUUUAUACAUAUAUAUAUUUUUGAACAUGAUACAUAUAUAUAUUUAUAUCAUUCAUACUUAAACAAAAUUCAAUCCAUAUACUUUCAAUUUCAGCUCACCAAAUUACUAUAGAUAUACAUGCAUAUAUACUGAUUUAAUAACCUCAAAUUGCUAAUAGACUUACCUCGGAUAUCAGCGGACACGAUCGACUAUUCGAUUACUUUCGUUUUUCCCCGAUCCAAAUUCGUUUUCUUCGUUUUUUUAUCUUAAUUAGACCUAGAGAUAGCCGAACCUUGUUGUUCUCUUUUCUUUUCUUUUCUUUUUCUUUUCUAUAUUCGGCCAAGAUGAAGAACAUGGCAUUUAAAAUUUGUUAUAUUAAACAUAUAUUAGCCUUAUUUUUAAUUUACUAUAUUAACCUUUACAUAUAUAUAUAACAUAUAUAAUAAGGUUACAUUAGUCCUUUGCCACCCACUAACUUACAUAGUGGACUAAUUGCAUAGUAAAACCUCUAAAUUAUAAAGACAACAACAAUUAGGUGCUUUUAUAAUUAACCCCUAAAUUUUCAUUUUACGCGAUUAAGCCCUUUUAUUAAAUCGGACACUUAAACGACGAAAUUAAAACACGAAAAUUUCACACAAUCAAAUGCAUACAAAAUAAUAUUAAUAAUAUUUUUCUAAUUCAAAUUUGUGGUCCCGAAACCAGUAUUCUGAUUAGGGUCAAAAACCGGGUUGUUACAACUCUCCCCCCUUAGAGAUUUUCGUCCCCGAAAAUCUUACCGGUGAAUAGGUUUGGAUAACGCUCUUUCAUUGUAUCUUCUGACUCCCAAGUUGCUUCUUCAACCCCAUGUUUAUGCCACAACACUUUAACUAACGGAAUUUUCUUAUUUCGUAAUUCUUUGAUCUCACGAGCAAGAAUGCUAAUCGGUUCUUCCUCAUAUGUCAUAUCAGAGUUAAUUUCAAUCUCCGUCGGACUAAUCACAUGUGAAGGAUCAGAUCGGUAUCUACGGAGCAUCGAAACAUGGAAUACGUUAUGAAUCUUUUCUAACUCAGGCAGUAACAUCAAUCUAUAAGCAACCAAUCCAACUCGCUCUAUAAUCUCAUACGGUCCAAUUAAUCUCGGACACAAUUUGCCUUUACGACCAAAUCUGAGUAUUUUCUUCCACGGUGAGACUUUUAACUUGCUCGGUGUCAACGGUAAAUCGGAUACAAAAUCCAUCGUGACUCGAUCCCAUUUCCAUUGAGGUAUCAUGAUCGGCUGAAGCAAUCCAGAUGGUACCUGAUGCUCGGCUUUAACUUGCUGACAAAUUAAACAUUUCGAAACAAAGUCAGAAAUGUCUCGUUUCAUACCUUGCCACCAAUAGUGCUGUUUUAGAUCGUUAUACAUUUUCGUGCUACCCGGAUGAACAGAAAAUCGAAUACUAUGAGCUUCCUUCAAAAUCAUCUGAAUUAACUCUGAAUUUUUCGGAACACAUAAUCGGUUUCUAAAUCUCAAACAAUCCUCAGCAUCAACUAAAAACUCCGAAUCAAUAUUUAAGUCACAUUGAGCUCGUUUUGCAGUUAAAUCAUUAUCAACCUUUUGAGCUUCACAAAUCUGUUGUACAAAUAACAGUUUUGCUUUCAACUCAGCUACUAUCGCACCAUCAUCAGACAUAACCAUAUGUGCGUUCAUUGCACGCAAAGCAAACAGUGAUUUUCGACUUAGGGCAUCAGCAACAACAUUAGCCUUUCCCGGAUGAUAGUCAAUCACAAGCUCGUAAUCUUUCAGCAAUUCUAACCAUCGACGCUGUCUCAAAUUCAGAUAUUUCUGAGUCAUCAAAUAUUUCAGGCUUUUGGGAUCGGAAUAAACAUGACAUCUUUCGCCAAACAGAUAGUGACGCCAUAUUUUUAACGCAAAUACAAUAGCGGCCAAUUCCAGAUCAUGCGUCGGAUAGUUUUUUUCAUGCGGCUUUAACUGUCUCAAGGCAUAGGCUACAACUUUGCCUUCCUACAUCAAAACACAACCCAAACCAUUUAAAGAUGCAUCACUAUAGAUAACAAACUCUUUACCCGAUUCGGGUUGAACUAGGACUGGAGCUUCGGUCAAAAGAACUUUCAACUGAUCAAAGUUUUUCUGACACUUUUCUGACCACUCGAACUUAACGUCUUUUUGUAGUAGCUUUGUCAUCGGGGUCGCAAUCAUAGAAAACCCUUUCACGAACCGUCUAUAAUAACCAGCGAGCCCCAGAAAGCUUCGAACAUCAGAGACAUUUCUCGGAGGUUUCCAAUCAAGUAUAGCUGAAAUUUUACUUGGAUCAACCUGAAUACCCGAUGCUGACACAACAUGGCCCAGAAAACUAACUUCACGUAACCAGAACUCGAAUUUACUGAACUUUGCAUACAACUGUUUAUCUCGCAAAGUUUGUAACACAAGUCUCAGAUGUUCAGUAUGCUCGGUUUCAUCACGAGAGUAGAUCAAAAUAUCAUCUAUAAAUACUACCACAAACAGAUCCAGAUACUGUCUAAAAAUCUGAUUCAUCAAAUCCAUGAAAACAGCAGGUGCAUUAGUAAGUCCAAAAGGCAUAACCAAGAACUCAUAAUGUCCGUACCUCGUUCGGAAAGCAGUCUUUGGCACAUCAGAGUCUUUAACUCGCAACUGAUAGUAGCCUGAUCUCAGAUCUAUCUUCGAAAACACAGUAGCCCCUUUCAACUGAUCGAACAAAUCAUCAAUCCGUGGUAACGGAUACUUAUUCUUUAUAGUCACCUUAUUGAGUUGCCGGUAAUCAAUGCACAUUCUCAUUGUUCCGUCUUUCUUUUUCACAAAUAGAACUGGUGCACCCCAAGGAGAGAAACUCGGUCGUGCAAAACCUUUAUCAGUCAACUCUUGCAACUGUACUUUCAAUUCUUUUAAUUCAGUCGGUGCCAUACGGUACGGAGCUAUCGAAAUUGGAGUUGUCCCUGGUACUAACUCAAUACCAAACUCUACCUCUCGAAUAGGUGGCAAACCCGGUAAUUCUUCGGGAAACACGUCUGAAUACUUACACACUACUGGCACAGAUUCAAUCUUCUUUUCGAUCACUUUACUAUCAAGAAAAAAUGCAAGGUAAUCUUCACAACCUUUUCUCACAUACUUUUUUGCCGACAUCGAGGAUAUUAUUGCUGGUAAACCAUUCAGAUCAUUAGAUUCAAUCCGAAUAAUCUCAUCAUUCUGACACCGUAGAUCAAUAGUUUUCCGUUUGCAGUUUACUAUAGCAUCAUGCAGAGUUAACCAAUCCAUACCCAGAAUUAUAUCAAACUCGUCAAAUGGUAGCAACAUCAAAUCAGCCAGAAAACAUAAAUCUCGAAUCAUCAACGGACAAUUCUUGCAUAUUUUGUCAACCAAAACACACCGGCCCAGGGGGUUCAAUACUUUAAUUACAAACUCAGUAGACUCAACAGGCAAAGUCUUACUGAAUACUAAAGUCUCACACACAUAAGAAUGAGUCGAACCAAGAUCAAUCAAUGCAAUAACAUUAGUAUCAUAAAGAGGGAAAGUACCAGUAAUAACAUCUGGAGAAGAAGCCUCCUCUUGAGCACGGAUGGCAUAUGCUCUGGCAAGUGCACGAGCCUCAGAUCGAACUGCCAUGUCCUUUGUUCCUCUCUGACUGCCACUUACAUUACUCAAUUGCCUCGGUGGUCUACCUCGUACUGGCACUUUACUCGGUCUGGUAUUCUGCACAGUGUUUUGCUCAGCUACCAUCGGACACUCUCGAAUGAAAUGAUCCUUUGAACCGCACUUAAAGCAAGACCGAUCAUGUAAUCUGCAAUCUCCAGGAUGCCAUUUCCCACAAUACUUGUACUCUGAUCUAUUUUGUCGAACACUACCAACGCUAGCAACUGAAGUAGCUCGUGAACUCACAGGGGGUCGAUCUCGAUCAUACUUAGGAAACCCUGCAGUAGCUUUAGAUCGGCUAUGAUCCUCUCUGGAUUUCAUUGAGGUCGACUGGAAUGAUUUACUGAAUAAUCUUUUACGAGAAUCUCGAGCUUCAUAGCCAGCUUUCCUCUUCUCUUUCCCGAGCUCCUCAACUUUACAAGGUCGUUCAACAAGUACUACGAACUCUUUUAUCUCAAGUAUACCAAAUAACAGUUUAAUAUCUUCAUCCAGCCCAUCUUCAAAUCUUUUACACAUGAUAGCUUCAGUCGAAAUACAUUCUCGAGCAUAUCUACUGAGUCUCACAAAUUUCCGCUCAUAUUCUAUCACUGUCAUACGACCCUGUUUCAAUUUAAGAAAUUACUUACGCUUCUGAUCAAUGAAUCUUUGGCUGAUGUAUUUCUUACAGAACUCAAUCUGAAAGAAUUCCCAGGUCACUCGCUCUUUCGGAACCACCGAUACUAGUGUAUUCCACCAGUGAUAUGCAGUGUCCCGUGGCAAAGAUAUGGCACAUUUCAAGUACUCAUCAGGGGUGCAAGAUAACUCAUCAAACACUCGAAUAGUAUUAUCAAGCCAGAAUUCAUCUCGCUCAGCAUCAUCAUCAUCAGUAGCUCUGAACUCUUCGACCCCGUGUUUUUGAAUUUUGUCAAUAGGAGGCUUAAGUAAUCUCAUCGGAUCACUUACUUGAGGUAUAACAGGAAUCGAAGGUGGAUUAGUCGGGGGUGGAGUUUGUUGUGCAACCGGAUUAGUUCGGACAUAUUGAGUAAACCAGUCAUUCAUCAUUUGGUAGAAGGCUUGUUUAGCCUCUCCCUCCUGGUUACUCGAGGUCGGUCGAGAAUCUACCGGCUCUGUCCCUUGUGUGGGAGCAGGCGCUAUACCCUCAACAUCAUCGACUACGGCUCGAUCGGGAUCCAUUACUAUACGAAAACACAUUUUUAGACAUCAGCAGUCAUCACACUAUCUUGGUAUAAAAAUAUGGCAUGUAUAGCUAGACUCAUACAUGCUACAUUAGUCCAAGAAUCGAUUAAACCGUAGCUCUGAUACCAAUAAAAUGUAACACCCCUAACCCGUAUCCGUCGCCGAAUUAGGGUUACGAGGCAUUACUGAACAAAUACAACCAUUUUUAAAACCAACUGAUCACAAACAUGAAAAUUAAAUCAUUUUCACAUAGCUAUUUAUAAUUUACAAUCAACAUCUAACCAACAUCGUACUCAAACCUAUACAUGCCAUAAGAUCAAGUUCAAAUAUUUAACAAAAUACCAAAAGGGGUCAAAAGUGUGAUAGACUAUGCUGAUGAUCCCCGAGCUCGUAACGCGUCUCCAAAAUCUAUAAAAACAAAUGGACAAAAACAAUCAAAGUAAGCUUUUAUAGCUUAGUAAGUCUAUAGCAUAUCUAAAAUACAUAUAAAAGAAUCAUAUAAUUCUUAAAAUAAAUUUAUUGAAAUCACAAUUAUCAAUUAUAAUUACUAAUCGAACAUUGCUAUAUUAAGUCAUCUUGUUUAAAUCUAAAAGGAUGUGUAUUUAUCUAAUACACAUGAACGGACAAAUGUAUAUACAUUAUAUGCAUAUAAUCAAUUUACUAACAUAAUCAUUAAUUGCAUAUACGGAUUUCUAUAGUACUUAUUGUUCGCACUUCAUCGGAUCCAUUUAAAUAUAAUUGUUCAAAUACAUAUACCAAAAGCAUAAUAAUUUUAUACUUGAUCAACUAUAAGUGCCGAAUGCACAUAUACACCUAUACCCACCUAUGCCGAAUGCAUACAUAUAUACACAUAUAUAUAUAUCCAACAAUUUCAUGACAACCGAUAUAUAUAUACAUACUCACUAUUCACAAGGACUCGAACGAUUAUAUACUCAUCAACCACCUUAAAACAAUGUUCAUAAACUUAUCCAUUUCAUAUAAACAAAAGCAUAUAUAUUUAUACCCAAUGCAUAGAAUCACUUAAUUUAAACAGAUUCACUGGCACUUCACCUGAUAGGCUUAUAGUUUAAUUCAGUUCACCGGCACUUAGCCUACUAGGCUUGUAGCCUGAUUCAGUUCACCGGCACUUAGCCUGCUAGACGUAUAGUCCGAUUCAAUUCACCGGCAUUUAGCCUGCUAGACGUAUAGUCCGAUUCAAUUUACCGGCACUUAGCCUGCUAGAUGUAUAGUCUGAAUAAUUUUACUGGUAAUAAAUCCGAUAGUCAUUUCUCCGUUGAAAUUGAAUUAUAUUCAAUUCUGCGUAACAAACAUGCACUUAAAACAUACUUGCAUAAUUCACAACAAUAAUUUCAGUCCAAAGAGCUGUAAUUCAUAUUCGAACUAUAUAUAUAUAAAUCCAUACAUAAAAAUUCAGCUCAAAAUUUAUAACCUAUAUCUUUGAACCACAUAGGUACAUGAAAUUCAAACAACAAAAUCCAGCUCAAUAACUUCAUGAUUCAACCUAACAAAUUUAUGUAUAUAACUUUUUAUCUAAUUUCAAUACAAUAACUUAUACAUGUACGUAUAUACAUAUUUGAAUCUAACAUAUACAUAUAUAAUUUCAUACUUAAAUAUAUUCAAGACUUAUUCAUGAGUAUACAUAUAUAUUACAACUCACAUGUACAUAUAUAUACACAUUCAUACCUUUAACCAAGUCCAAGGCUUUAUACAUGUAUAUGCUUAUAUAUAUAUAUAUUCGGACCUUAUGUUUACAUAUAUAUUAUAUAUAAAUACCUUUGAUUAAAAACAAGUAUUUAUACAUAUAUAUAUUUUCGAACAUGAUACAUACAUAUAUUUAUAUCAUUCAUACUUAAACAAAAUUCAAUCCAUAUACUUUCAAUUUCAGCUCACCAAAUUACUAUAGAUAUACAUGCAUAUAUACUGAUUUAAUAACCUCAAAUUGCUAAUAGACUUACCUCGGAUAUCAGCGGACACGAUCGACUAUUCGAUUACUUUCGUUUUUCCCCGAUCCAAAUUCGUUUUCUUCGUUUUUUUAUCUUAAUUAGACCUAGAGAUAGCCGAACCUUGUUGUUCUCUUUUCUUUUCUUUUCUUUUUCUUUUCUAUAUUCGGCCAAGAUGAAGAACAUGGCAUUUAAAAUUUGUUAUAUUAAACAUAUAUUAGCCUUAUUUUUAAUUUACUAUAUUAACCUUUACAUAUAUAUAACAUAUAUAAUAAGGUUACAUUAGUCCUUUGCCACCCACUAACUUACAUAGUGGACUAAUUGCAUAGUAAAACCUCUAAAUUAUAAAGACAACAACAAUUAGGUGCUUUUAUAAUUAACCCCUAAAUUUUCAUUUUACGCGAUUAAGCCCUUUUAUUAAAUCGGACACUUAAACAACGAAAUUAAAACACGAAAAUUUCACACAAUCAAAUGCAUACAAAAUAAUAUUAAUAAUAUUUUUCUAAUUCAAAUUUGUGGUCCCGAAACCAGUAUUCUGAUUAGGGUCAAAAACUGGGUUGUUACAACUCUCCCCCCUUAGGGAUUUUCGUCCCCGAAAAUCUUACCGGUGAAUAGGUUUGGAUAACGCUCUUUCAUUGUAUCUUCUGACUCCCAAGUUGCUUCUUCAACCCCAUGUUUAUGCCACAACACUUUAACUAACGGAAUUUUCUUAUUUCGUAAUUCUUUGAUCUCACGAGCCAGAAUGCUAAUCGGUUCUUCCUCAUAUGUCAUAUCAGAGUUAAUUUCAAUCUCCGUCGGACUAAUCACAUGUGAAGGAUCAGAUCGGUAUCCACAGAGCAUUGAAACAUGGAAUACGUUAUGAAUCUUUUCUAACUCAGGCAGUAACAUCAAUCUAUAACCAACCGAUCCAACUCGCUCUAUAAUCUCAUACGGUCCAAUGAAUCUCGGACUCAAUUUGCCUUUACGACCAAAUCUGAGUAUUUUCUUCCACGGUGAGACUUUUAAAAACACUUUAUCCCCGAUCUGAAAUUCUAUAUCCUUUCUUUUCAAAUCCGCAUAAGAUUUCUGACGAUCCGGUGCUGAUUUCAGACUGUCCCGAAUCACUUUCACUUUCUGUUCGGUCUCUUUAAUCAAAUCAACCCCGUGUAUCUUAUUUUCACUGAGCUCAGUCCAAUACAGUGGUGUACGACAUUUACGACCGUACAAAGCCUCAUAAGGUGCCAUUUUGAUACUAGAUUGAAAGCUAUUAUUAUAAGCAAAUUCAAUCAAAGGUAAGUAUCGUUCCCACGUACCUUCAAACUCGAGAAUGCAACAUCUCAACAUAUCCUCAAGUAUCUGAAUGAUUCGUUCAGAUUGACCAUCUGUCUGCGGAUGGAAAGCUGUGCUAAAAUGUAGUUUCGUACCUAAAGCUGUGCUAAAAUGCACACAAAAUAAACACACAAAAUAAUAUUAAUAAUAUUUUUCUAAUUCGGAUUUGUGGUCCCGAAACCACUAUUCCGAUUAGGGUCAAAAACCGGGUUGUUACAAUUCUGCUUCUUCUGCAUCAUCAUCUUUGGUAGCUCGAAAUUCUUCAGCCCCUUACUUCCUAAUCUUAUCAACAGGUGGUCUCUCACUGAUGACUAUACCUGCAGCUAGGGAAACUACAUGAGGAACCUGUGAAUCCUGAAGGGGUGGAGGUCUUACACCCGGAUUCAUACGAACGAACUCGGCAAACCAAUCAUUCAUGGCUUGGAAGAAGGCUUCUCUAGCUCCUCCUCCCUGUCUAACUGAUGCAGGUCUUUCACUAACGUUAACAUCUAGUGGCACCGUCCUUUCUGCGGAAGUAGGCGCAUUACUCUCUACUUCAUCUGCACCAGCUCGUUCAGGAUCCGUAACUAUAAAAUAAAAUAUUUUAAAAUCGUCAAGAGUCGUCACACUAUCAAAAUAUAUAAGUAUGGCAUGUAUAGGUAGACUUUUAUUCAUACUGCAUAUUUCUGAGAACCGAUUAAACCUGCUCUGAUACCAACAAAUGUAACACCCCUUACCCAAGACCAUUUUCGGAGUCGAGCACGAGGCAUUACUUAUCUUAUCUUACUAACUCGAAGCAUAAAAACUUAUUUUAAAAAUUAAUUUCACUAUUUACAGCAAUCUGUCCAAUCGAGCAGCAGUUACUAAAUUAAUAAUAACUCGAGCUACGGAACUUGAAAUUUAACUUCGUAAAUUUUCACUGAAACUAGACUCAUAUAUCUUCCUACCAUAAAGUUUUUAGGAUUUUUUGUUUAGCCAACUAGUACAGUUUAUUAGUCAAAUUCUCCCCUGUUUCACCAAUCGAUUGCCUUGACCUCUUAUCACUAAAAAUAAAAUUUCUCAAUGUGGGAUUUUCGUAUAGUGCUACUGCUUGCUUCUACAAAAAAUAGACUCAAUAAGGAAUCUAUAAAUAUAAACUACAGCUCCUAAAUAUUUUUUUAAAAAUUUUAAUGAUUUUCUAAACUCAAAAUAGGGGUCACCAAAAACUGUUCUAACCCUGUCUCACCAAAAUUCACAUAUCUUAAAAUAUAAAAUUCAUUUUGCUACACCGUUAUUUUUAUCUGAAAAUAGACUCAACAAGAUUUAAAUUCAUAUAUCAUUCACUCUUUAAUUCAUUUUAUACUAUCCUAGGUGAUAUUUCAAAGUCACGUCGUUGUUGCUGCCUGAAUUCUGUUUCUUUGCAAAAUUGUACCAUUUUAUGAUUUCCAUGCAUAGUUUAUCACUUACACUCUUAUAACAACAAACACUUCCAUACUUCACCAUUUUAGCAACCAUUCAUCAUCAACUACUUACAUAUCAUUCUUUAUCAAGAUCAUAAAUACAAACAUUUAAAAUAACUAAAUCCCUAUACAUUCCAUACUCAACAUGGUUCAACAUAAAAAUACCGAGUUGCUGUGGCUGAUAGUGUGGACGAUCUCCGACUUCUUUAGGAUCCUUGAAGUAACCUUGCAAUACUAUAAGAGAAAGAGAAAUAAAAGACGUAAGCAUAAAGCUUAGUAAGUUUACUAGCAAAUAAAUAACAAUAUUUAACUCAGAUAAUUAAACUCAAGUGUCUAUAUCUCUAGUUUACUCUUUAGUUAAUCCCAUUCUAGUUCUCUUGCUUGUUUACUUAGUAUACUUGUGUGCAUAACUUAAUCUUCUCUUGCUGUAUCGUUGAAUAUCAAUUGAUAAUAUAAUAAGUUCUUAACUCUUAUAACUUACCUGAACUUGCCAUUUAUGUUUUUAACUGAACUUUCCUGAACAUGAUUCGUUAUUUAGCCCGUUGAGCUACAUUGGAACAAUAAGGAUACUCGGGUCUCUUCUGAUAAUAACAUGCCAAAGCCAUGUCCCAGACAUGGUCUUACAUGGGAUGUACUCAUGUCGGUGCCCAUUCCAUGUCCCAGACAUGGUCUUACGGGGGACCUCUCAUCUCGGUGCCAAUGUCAUGUCUCAGACAUGGUCUUACAUGGGACCUCUCAUCUCGGUGCCAACACCAUGUCCCAGACAUUGUCUUACAUGGGACCUCUCAUUUCGGUGCCAACGCCAUGUCCCAGACAUGGUCUUACAUGGGACCUCUUUAUCCAAAUGUCAUGACAUUCGUAUCCAGUAUUAUCCUUAUGUAUCAACGGGACUUUUUAAUUUUAAUUCUCUAUCAUUUCAUGCUUGGAUAAUCAUCAAAUAAAUUCAUGAAAUAAAUUCAUAGUUGCUGGAAAAUAGCAGCAUUAAUAAAAAUUAUUGAAAUAUUUCAUUUAUUUACCGUAAACUUACCUUGGUACCGAAUAUAGCCCAAUUCACCAACUUAGUCUUCAACUUUAUUCUUUCCUUUGUCUAACCUCGAGUUUCAUUCUUCUUGAUCUAAAAUAGAAAAUUUAACUUAUUUAAUACUCACAUUCAUCAAAACAGCCCUCGACUCUAACUUUUCAAAAUUAUGAUUUUGCCCCUAAACUUUUACAUAAUUACAUUUUUCCCCAAGGCUCGAAAAUUCAACUUCAUCUCAUAUUCUUAUGUUUUAUGGCAUGCUGAAUAUUUUUCUCUUCUAUGACAAUAUCAAAUUCUCACUCUAACACUUACUUAUGUACAUUAGAGAUUUUUACCGAUUAUGUCAACUUACUCGUUUUUGCUUAAAAUCGGCUAACAAAAGUUGUUUAACAUAAUUUAUAGCUUCAUAUUCUAUCAUAAAACAUCAAAAUAAACACUUUUCACCUAUGGGUAUUUUUCCAAAUAUAAACCCUAGGUUAAAUUAUUGCUAGAAUAAGCUAAAUUAAGUUACCGGGACUCCAAAAACGUAAGGAACAUUAAAAACGGGGCUUGGGAUCACUUACUAUGGAGCUUGGAAGCUUGAAAACCCUAAAUAUGGCUUACCCCCUUGCUGAUUUCGUCCAAAUGAAGAAGAUGAGCAUAAUUUGUCAUCUUUUUCCCUUUUAAUUCAUUUUAAUUACUAGAUUACCAAAUUGCCCCUAACUUAAAAAUUUCCUAUUUCACUUAUCUCAUGUCCAUUUUUGUCUAAAAACUUAACCAAUGGUCUAAUUACCAUAUAAAGACCUCCAAUUUAAAGUUUCAUAACAAUUGGACACCUCUAACAUGUAGAACUCAACUUUUGCACUUUUUGCAAUUUAGUACUUUUGACUAAAUUGAGUGCCCAAACUUCAAAAUUUUCGAAUAAAAUUUUCAUGAAAUCAUUUUGUGAAAUCAUAGACCAUAAAAAUAUAAGAAAAAUAAAAUUUUCCUCAUCGGAUUUGUGAUCCCGAAACCACUGUUCCGAUAAUCUUAAAUUUGGGCCAUUACAUGAUCACCUUUUUACUAGCUCAUACAUCUCCUACAUCAGACCUUACAUGCAUGCUUACCAAACUUUAUUCUUUUUAACAAAACUUUAUACAUAUCAUCGUAGCACAUCUUUCAUCUUUACUAAACUCAUAUUUUUACCAAUUUCUGUAGACAUCAUCAUCAUCAUCCUAUAUAUAUGCUUCUUGUUUGAACAGUUCAUAUCAAAGAGUCAAGAUAGAGACCCACUUGACACUCACCUACUGCAGUUCAAAGCUCUAAACUUAACCAUCCUUCUCAAACCAGCAGUAAAAACUGCUUAUAGAACAUAGAAUCACCAUUAAAAACCCAUUUACAUACAAAUUACUAUCAUCUUAAUCACUUUUCCACUGUUAAUUUAUAAAUAAGUGUUAAGUAGUAAAUAAAUAAAAAAAUUAACUAAGUUUUCAAAAAAAAAGUCACUGUGACGAGAAGAAUGUUAAAAUUAAUUGGUGUUUGUUAACUCAUAUGUUUUUCUAAAAAUGGGUUAAGUUUUCUUCUGAAAUAAACAAAUGUUUUAAAAUGAUUGUUUUAUAAACUCCGAUCGUACUAUCCCAUCUUGGUGGCUGAUGUAAUAUCCCAAAUUCAGGUCUAACAUCUAAGUCGGGUUGGAUAGGUUACAAUAUAUAUAGAAAGAUUGAUAAAUAAUGCAAACUUGAAUACAAGCAAAGAAAGAAAUCAAUCAAUGUGAAUGACUAACAAGUUUAAAAUCAUAUAUUUGCAUUAUAUUUUGUAAAGCACAAGAUUGUCAUGGAAUUAGACAAUUUGUUUUGAUAAUGGUUAUAUUUUAUAUAGAUUUACUUUUAUGCACUUUCAUAUUGAGUUGAUCAAAAGUUUUGAAACUUUAUAGAAAAUUUGAAUGAAAGAGCAUAUUGAUAUAUAUGCUAUCUUGAGUGUUGAAUUAAGCAUUCUUUAGUAAAAGAGUGUACAUUUCGCACAUGGUAGGUGUGUUGGUUUCUUAUAUAUUAAUUAAGCACAAAUUAAAGAAAAAUAAUAUAUAUCACCAUAGUGUUGUAAUAUUUUGUAUAAUUUGUGAAAUUAUACAAGCAAAUAAGUUUACCUAUCUUGUUAAAUAAAACUCAUUAAGUUGGUUCUUAAUCUUGAAGAAUUAAAUAGGUUGGCUUCUUUAUUCAUUUUAUCCAACUACAAGUUAGAUUAAAGUUGUGGAAAUAGAAUGGUUGAAAAUUUGUGUUAAUGAGAAUUAGAGUUAUGGCCACAACUGAUGCCAACUAUUUCCUAAAAACAGGGAAUGAUGUCCAAAAACAUGCUGUAAAAUAAAAAUUUGGACAUGUUAGAAUAUGAAUUUAUUAUAUUAUAGUUUCAAUGUAAUACCCUUAUCCCAUCUCUGUUGCCGGAUUAGGAUUUCAGAGUAUUACUGAGAAAAAUAGAACAUUUAACUUUCCAACAGAAACAAUUGUACAAUUAAAUACCAACAUAUAACAAUUGAAUCUAAUCAUGGCAAAUAUUACACUUUUGGACCUUGAAUCGAGCCUAUGGGGCCCUAGAAACAGUUUAGGAACAAUCUGGGAUCAAAUCAAAACAAAUCAGAACAUUUUGAAAAAACAUAAAAAUUUAGGAAUACAGAGGUCACAGGCCAUAUGGCCAAGUCGUGUGACAUAGCCUAGAUUGUGUAAACAUCCGAAGUCAGGACACAUAGCUGUGUCCCAGCCUGUGUGUCUACUCAUGUGUAUAUUUGAAAUAGGGUCACACAGUCGUGUUGCAGACUGCCAAACGUGUGUGUAUUCAAAGUGAGGUCGCAAGACCAUGUGGCCGACCGUGCCACAAACUGUUUUGAGACACAAGGUCAUGUCUCAGACCGUGUAAAACAUGCACUUAAAAUAAUAAAUACACACGACCGUAUCUAGUGACUAUGUGUGGCACAUGGUCGUGUGGUAGCUUGUGUCUCAGGUCGUGUGCUCCAUUUUUAACCCCUAAAUCAAGCCAAUCAAGCAUCAUUUCUUAUACAACAAGACAUACCAUAUCUAACUAAUUUUACAUGGUUAAAAACACAUUCAAAUCAACAAAUACAUGCCAAAAUUUCGUUCAUCCUAUGUCUAACCAAUAUGCCAUCAAAAGGCACCUCAAUCCAUACAUCCAUUCAACUCAAGAACAAAGUUACAAUAAAUGAACAAGUUUUAUCAUUAGUUAACCAUUCAUGCCUAAAACCACUAAUCUAAUUGACCAAAAUAUGGGCAUACUCAACAAGCAACCAUUUCAAAACAUCAUCAUCAAAUCUUUAUAUACCAUUUAUGAUCAACUUAAUUAUAUUCAACACAAGUACACAUCCAAAAUCAAGCACAUCACUAAGUAUGCCAAAAUAACUUAACUAUUUACAUAUCAACAAUAAGACACCAUAUCCCAAAAUGAAAUAAAAAAGCUACCAAGAUGGUUGGAUAGUGUGUGCUCCAAAACAAUUCAUCCGGUUAGUCCACAAAACGCCAAAUCAACCAAUAUAGAUAAACAAAAAGGUAAGUUCUAAUUCUUGAUAUUCAAAUGCAAGAUCACACCACAUUAGUAUAUAUUUAUUUACAUCAUAAAUGAUACCUUCCAAAAUUCAUAACCAAUUCAUCAUCCACAAUUUCUCAAUACAACCAUUAAUAUUUAUAAACAAGAACUUCAUAGUAACAUUUAUCAUUUAGUAGUAAUAUAAUUAUCCAACAAAAUUGAACAAAUAAAUGCGUUUUAAGUCAUUUGAUACAUAGCCUGCUGAACUAUAGUAACUUGACUCGGAUACUCAUGAUACUACAUCACACCAAAGGUAUCAAUGAUGCAUAACAGAGGCACCGAAGUGCAGACAAAUGCAUGAAUGUGCAAUCAGAGGCACCGAAGUGAAAACAGAUGCACCAAAGUACAAACCCGUACGAGUGCGCAUUAAAACCCUAUUGGCAUGCUAAUCGUAUCCUAAUUGUUUACUACGUUCAACUGGGCAUUAUACUUAAAAUCAUAAUAUCAAUAAAUCCAUCAUUUAGAGGCACUUCUUAUUUCCGUACACAUACUAUAAAUAUGUAACUUUCAUUUCAAUAAUAUGCAAUAACAAUAAUUACCAUCAUCAAACAUUCAUUUUCUAUUUGUACUUAAUUGCAAAAUUUAAUAAUAUAUAAGUAACUCAUGAAAUUUCACAUAUAUACCAUUAACUAGAAAACAAUAAUAUAAUCAUAAAGUGACACACAUAUACAUAUUAUUACACUAUGAACUUACCUAAAAUCUACUUUCGAUUAAUACACAGGGACUACUCCGCUAUUUUUUCCCUUUUCUCGGUUAUUGUCUUUUUGACUCGGUUCUUGAUCUAUAUAGUAAUUAAAUUCAAUUUAUGAAAUUCACAUACAUUUAAAACUCAAUUCAAUGCAUGAUACCCUUAUGUUUUCAUUAUUUUCACAUUUUUCUUAAACUUUUACAUUUCUCACAAUUUAGUCCCUACAAAAUUUAACAAAAUUUUACAAUUUUCCAUGUUAGUUGAACUUCUUUCGAAACUAGUACAAUCCCUAAUUAUUCACAAUUCACAAAAUUUCUAUGCAAAUUUUAAUAAUUCACACAUUGAUCAUUAAACUCAAAAUUAACACAAAUUUUUUUACAAAAAUAUCCUAAUCAACAUUCAAAUAUGUACAACUACCAUUAAAAAUCAUGAACACCAAAAUUCCAUUACUAACCAAUCCCUAAAACUUUAACAUUUUUAUAAUUCCAUCCUCGGGUUUAAUAGUUUAAGUUACAACGAGUUCAAAAACGUAAAAAUUAUUAAAAACAGGUAAGAGAAACACUUACAUGCACCAAUUUGCUAACCGAAACUUCAAGCUCCAAAAAUGGAGUUUUUUUUUUCUUUUUCGGUGGGAGAGAGUUGAGAAGAUGAUGAUACCAUUUUUUUCUUUUGUUUCUUUUCUUUAAUCAAACUAAUUACUAAAUUAUCCUUUUAAUCUAAACUAAAUUAUUAACAUAGCAUGUCCGUAAUUAUCCAUUAACUAACCAUAAGGUUUAUCUAUCAACCAAGUCCAUUACUUUAGUUUUUCUUUAAAAAUCAAGCACAUUUAACAAAUAGAAGCCACUUUAGCAUCUUUUACAAUUUAGACCUUUUUACUAAAUUAACUAAACAGACAUUAAAAUUUCUUAGCCAAAUUUUAUUAUGACUCCAAUAUAACUCUAUAAGCAUAAAAUAAACAUAAAAUACUAACUCAUUUGUCGAAAUUGUGGUCCUGAAACCACCUUUUUUGAUACCACUGAAAAAUGAGAUAUUACAUUAAAUCUCUAAUUUAUGAUAAUGAAUGUGAGAGAAUAAUUUUCUUUGUUUAGAAAUACUAAUCAUUUUCUUUGUUUAGUAAUACUACAACUAGAAUGUGUUUCGACCCUAUUAUUAGAAACUAAUAAUGGAAACCCAACUUUUAAUUAGAAACCUCUAAUUUUAAAGUUUAAUAGGUAACACCCCGAAUUUUGGCCCUAGAAGAAAUAUGUUUUGAACAAGGGAACAGUUAGGAGACUGCACAUAAAUAUUUAGUUGUGCAAGGAAGUGACAUAAAUGAAUGUCUACUUCAGUGGUUGAGUGAUUUAGGAGUGUUUGGAACUGUCUGAGAAGUCAGGGAUUCAAGCAUUGCUUAUGCAAAAUUUUUAUUUUAAGUGAAUAAAAUCAUUGGAUCUAGAUAGUAAGUUCUUAAAUUAUUGUGGUUAAAAUAUGAUGCAAAAGAGUUGUUGGUCUAGUGGUAAGGGGUGUGUGGAGUGCACAUAGGGCCUAAGGUUCGAGUGGUGGCGCAUCAGAAAGGAAAUAUUUAUUUUGCUACUUGAGCUGUUUAGGUAGUGGAGUUGGACUGAAACACAACUAAGGGGAGUUUGCAUAGAAUUUGAAUGGAGUUGUUGGGGGAGUUGAGGAGAAACCGGUAGAAUAAUUUAAGGAGGGAUAAGGGGAGAGAUUUUAGGAGAAAAUCAAGGGAAGUGAGGGGAGUGAAGAAGUGUGCCGAAAGUGGACUUUGAUACUCAGGAAAUUUGGCCAGAAGGGAUACUGCUCAUUUUGGUAUACUUUUCAUUUCGGUUUUGUGUAGUGUUUCUCUCUCUUUUUGCUUUUUGGUGCCGAAUUUUUGCUAAGAUUUCGAGUACCACUCGGGUUUUUCUUUUGCUGCUUUUUUCUUUUAUCAUUUCUUUUGUUUUGGCCGAAUUUCUUUUUAGUUCCCUCCUUUGUCGAAUUCUUUUCUCUCUUCUCUUUGUUGCUUCUUUUCAUUUCUCUAUUUUUCCAAACCUUGACCGAACAGUGUUGAAGUAGUUCUGUGUUCCAUCUUUUGUCUAAAAUGCUCUUCUUCCUCUACUCCUUUUGAUCAACUAUUUGUCGAAUAUUGCCUUCUCUCCCCUUUUAUCUCUUUAAAUUUAUUUUCGGCUUGACAACAAUUCUCUAACAGUUCAAAUUUCUUGAGGAGUGAAAAAGUAUCGCAUAAUAUUAAAGUCAUCGAAACCUUUCUCUCAUCACUCGAUCAAAGGUAAGUAUGUAGGCUAGCAUUCUAAAGUGUAGGCUGAGUGCUUUCUAUGGUUUCAUAAGUUAUUAUGUUUGGAUUUAAACCACAUGAAUAAACAAUCCUAUUUAAUAAAAUCCGUUUGUAAUGCAGAUAUCCAUCAAAGAGAUUGUAGUCAACCUUCGUCAGUGAUAUAAGUAGGCUAAGUCACAUUUGACAAUCGAGGCUUUGGUGCUCGUGGAUCUUAGAGUGUUUUCACAAUCAGGUGUGUAAACACCCCACUGUAACCGUAGAACGACAAAAAGCUAAAAGGCCAAAAAUACGGUGUUUGAGACCACACAGGCGUGCGAUCUCUCAUGUGGUAAGCCCAACCCACAAAUCAUGGCCGAUAGACUGUAGAGGCCUCCAUGAACAUUUCCAUGGGCUUAGGCCGUAAUGGGCCACGUUGGGCCGAAAUGGGUCGUGUGGGUUCAAUAGGCUCGUGGGCACCAUACAGAUGAGAACCACGAUUUGUGAAAAAUACUGGACUGGGCUAUGAAGAUCUCAUAGCCGUGGAAAAAUCUGGGCUGAACAGGCCGCACAAGCGUGCGGGCCUACUUGGGCCGAGUAAUGGGCCUUAGGCCCAUUUGUACCAUUAUGACCAUUUAGGUUACCUGAGUCGCUCGAGGUAACUACGGACCUUUCGAGAGGUCGAUAUCUGCACCAAGACCCAAAAUAGGUAAAAUGAUCGAAAUACCCCUAUAGAGUAAAAUGACCGAAAUACCCCCAAAGGAUAAAAUGAUUGAAAUACCCCUAUAAGGUAAAACGAUCGAAAUACCCCCGUAGGAUAAAAUAACUAUUAUACCCCUAGAAGAUGAAAUGACUGUUAUGGCCUUAUGCUAUGUAUGACUGUUUUGCUCUAUGAUAUGUAUGACUAUGGUUGAGCAUGACAUUUUUCAUACACGUAUGAUAUUAUGUCAUGAUAUAUUGCAUGGGGAUGGAUUGUUAUAUUUGGAGGAAGUGUACUGUACUGACAAGGUUGCACGGGUCGCCCAAGACGACUGUGGACCUACUGAUGGCUAUAUGCCAUUUAUUUUACUGGCAGCUUUGCUGCAAUACUGUUUAAUGCUGCAACUGGUGCUAAUCUUGGUGUGUUUGGAUGGAUGGGUAGAUUUUAUCCCCCAUAUGGUGUGUUUGGCGGAACUGUAACACCCUUAACCUGAAUCCAUUCUGACAUUGUCUCACAAAAUUUAUUAUAUCUCAUAGUUUACAAUUUUAUUACUUACACCAUUUCUUCCAUGAGAAACUAGACUCAAUAAGUUUUAAUUCUAUAUUUUAUUCAUACUCUAAUUCGAUUUUCAUAAUUUAUGGUGAUUUUUCAAAGUGAGCCUACUGUUGUUGUCCAAAACUAUUUUAGUACAAGAUGUUUAUUACCAUGUUUAUAACACCCUUAUUUUCUUUCUCUACACUAUUUCUCAUCCCUUUCUCUUAUUUUCUCUUCACUUACAUAUUAAGAACAUAGGACCAUAUAUACAAAAAAACUUUACACUAACAUCAUUUCCAUACUUUUUCAAUAAUAUCAAACUUAAAAAUAUACUAAAAUCUUGAUGUACUUACCUUGUCAUAUUGAUUUUAAUCUUUAACUUGAUUUUCUCUCUCCUCCAGCUUCUAUUUCUUGAAUCUAACUUGAUAUUAUAGCUCCCCAUAGUCUCCUUGUAAUCUUUCUCUCUUGAUGGAUAUGGAAAUUCUUUUGAUUUCUAGAUGAAAAUAGUGAAUUUUUGGUGAAAGGACUAAAUUGUAAAGAAAGCAAAACUUUCUUUCUUCUCUUCUCCUCUUAACGUGAAUUGCAUGGAAAAGAUGGUGGGUUGGUUCCUUUUCAUCUUUCUUUCCACAUAUAUAUACUAAAUAAUAAAAUAAUAAAAUAUCAUUUAAAAAUCAAAUUAAAAUACUAAUAAACUAAUAUUUAUUUGUUUAUUUAAUCUAAAAUAUCUCCAACAUCAUCAUUAUCUUCUAGAUUUCUCUCUCUUCUAAUUGACCAUUUUGCCCUUCAUGAUAUUUUAAAAUUCCAUCCUUGAGUCAUCACUUAAUUUCGUAAAAUUUCAAUUUAGUCCCUCAAAAUUCCUCACCUUUUUUCAAUUUAGUCCUAAUACAUCCAUUUUCCUUAGUUUCUAGAUCAUUCCACCCUUAAAAUAUUUACACCAUUGGUCCUUCAAUUUUUUCAUAUUUACACUUUAACCCCUCAAUUUUUGAGUAUUUACUCUUGGGCAACAAAAUUUUUACGAUUUAAUCCUUUCUUGAGGUAAUAUGUCAUAAUAUACUUCCCAAUGUUGACAUAACUCCAAAAUUCCCUUUUUUGUCGCUUUAUUUCCUUAUUUUUUUAUAUCAAAGAUAAUAUCUUACUGUAAAAAUUUUUUUGGGGGGUAUUACAUUUCUCUCCCCCUCAAAAUAAAUUUCGUCCUCGAAAUUUCCUUAUUUUCUUUUGAUCAUGAACUUAUUUUUUCUUUAAUUCUAUAGUUCAUUUUUUUUGCAUAUAUUUACUUAGCUUAUCAUUUGUGUCUAUUCUUUAUUCUUUCAUUUCACAAUUUAUUUUUAAUUUAAUAUUUCAAACAUGAAUCAGAGAUAAACUUUUACCUUGUAACUAAAAUUAUUUACCUUUUUACCUGAGGCCCAGUGGACUAAAUAGAACACGUAGGAUAUAUGAAAUUGAUACAGAAGUGCUCUGUUAUACAUCAUUAAACAGAGAGCACUAAAGUGUUAUACGGGAGCAUAAAUGUGCUAAUAAUUGGAGAGCACUAGCGUGCUAUUAAUCAGAGAGUGCGCUAAGGUUCCUUAAUGAUAUACUACUAAUAUCCUAAUAGUUCUAAUCUCAUCUACUUGGGCAAAUUAUAUCAUGCAUGCAUACGACUUUUACACUUUGCGCAUAAUGCUUUUACAUACUUUACAAUUUAAACCUUGUACCAAUGAUUCGUAUAUUUAUACCUUCUCUACCUUUAAUACAUGUAAUAUAUUUCAAAAUUCACUAAUAAUCCAUAUAUAUCAUGUACUUCAUAUAUCAUUUUUACAUAUUAUGCAAUUUAGUCAUCAGCGCAAUAUUUCUUGUAGCAAUAUGUUUUUCUUUUAAUGACACAUAUAACAUUCAUCAUCGACAUGUAUUAUAAAACAUUUAUUCAUACUUUCAUGAGUUCCAAUUCAUCCUAAUCAAUUUUUUUUACUCAUAUACUUGAGUAUCACUUUCAACAUUAUCAGAAUUAGCUCGGUUAGGAAAACAUCUCUGUUUAUAAGUAAAACAAUUCUCAUCAGACUCGAGAGAUAUCACACUAUCACAGGUUACAUAAUGGCAUGCAUUUCUAGACUUCACAUAAGCUACGUUUGGUCCAAGAACCGACUAAAUCGUAGCUCUGAUACCAAUAAAUGUAACACUCUUAACCCGAAUCCAUUCUGACAUUGUCUCACAAAAUUUAUUAUAUCUCAUAGUUUACAAUUCUAUUACUUACACCAUUUCUUCCAUGAGAAACUAGACUCAAUAAGCUUUAAUUCUAUAUUUUAUUCAUACUCUAAUUCGAUUUUCAUAAUUUAUGGUGAUUUUUCAAAGUGAGCCUACUGUUGCUGUCCAAAACUAUUUUAGUACAAGAUGUUUAUUACCAUGUUUAUAACACCCUUAUUUUCUUUCGCUACACUAUUUCUCAUCCCUUUCUCUUAUUUUCUGUUCACUAACGUAUUAAGAACAUAGGACCAUAUAUACAAAAACUUUACAUUAACAUCAUUUCCAUACUUUUUCAAUAAUAUCAAACUUAAAAAUAUACUAAAAUCUUGAUGUACUUACCUUGUCAUAUUGAUUUCAAUCUUUAACUUGAUUUUCUCUCUCCUCCAGCUUCUAUUUCUUGAAUCUAACUUGAUAUUAUAGCUCCCCAUAGUCUCCUUGUAAUCUUUCUCUCUUGAUGGAUAUGGAAAUUCUUUUGAUUUCUAGAUGAAAAUAGUGAAUUUUUGGUGGAAGGACUAAAUUGUAAAGAAAGCAAAACUUUCUUUCUUUUCUCCUCUUAACGUGAAUUGCAUGGAAAAGAUGGUAGGUUGGUUCCUUUUCAUCUUUCUUUCCACAUAUAUAUACUAAAUAAUAAAAUAAUAAAAUAUCAUUUAAAAAUCAAAUUAAAAUACUAAUAAACUAAUAUUUAUUUAUUUAUUUAAUCUAAAAUAUCUCCAACAUCAUCAUUAUCUUCUAGAUUUCUCUCUCUUCUAAUUGACCAUUUUGCCCUUCAUGAUAUUUUAAAAUUCCAUCCUUGAGUCAUCACUUAAUUUCGUAAAAUUGCAAUUUAGUCCCUCAAAAUUCUUCACCUUUUUUCAAUUUAGUCCUAAUACAUCCAUUUUCCUUAGUUUCUAUAUCAUCCCACCCUUAAAGUAUUUACACCAUUGGUCCUUCAACUUUUUCAUAUUUACACUUUAACCCCUCAAUUUUUGAGUAUUUACUCUUGGGCAACAAAAUUUUUACGAUUUAAUCAUUUCUUGAGGUAAUAUGUCAUAAUAUACUUCCCAAUGUUGACAUAACUCCAAAAUUUCCCUUUUUGUCGCUUUAUUUCCUUAUUUUUUUAUAUCAAAGAUAAUAUCUUAGUGUAAAAAAAAAUUUUUUGGGUAUUACAGGAACAGAGUGGUGUGUAGAGGCUGGAUUGGGUAGGAUUUCUAACUGCAUAUCUACACUAAUUAAUGAUUUUGUAUUGUUACUACAUCGAUUAAUGAUAUUACAUACUGUUUACUGCAUGACUGAUAUUUGUUGCUGUUAUGGGCCAAGGCCCCACUGAUACUAUUACUGAAAUUGGGCAAAUGCCCUAUUGAUUAUUGGUAUUGUGAUGGGCUCAAGCCCAAUCGUUUAAUGUUACGGGAAAGGGCUUAGGCCCACACUGAACUGGACUGUUACUAUAACAGGCUCAGGCCCAAACUGUAUUUAUCUAUUGUUUAAUUGACUACUUACUUGUUAGGGGAUUGCACACUGAGUUUUCGUAAACUCAACCCGUUGUUUAACUGUACAGGUAAUCCCUAGUUGUAGUAGGGUCAGUGCUGCGAGGGACUCGAUGAUGGCCACACAACUGCAUCAGCUUUUGUUUUUAGCCUUUGAUUUAUAAGAAACUGAAUUUGGGUAUUUUUAUGUAAAAAGGCCUCUUUAAAGUUAUAAACUUUAAAUUGGGGUUUUUAUUUAUUUAGUUUGAUAUAAACUACUAGUUGUAGAAAAAGACGGGUUUUCAAAAGGUAAAUGUUUUCAAAGUUUCAAAAGGUAAAUGUUUUCAAAGACACCACGUUUUCGCAACAUUUCUAAAAAAAAACUUCCGCAAUGAAUGAGAUUUUGGAAAAUUUAUAACGUUUUAAAAGUGAUUAGCUUUUAAUGAUGCAUGCUUGGAAAUGAACAACCCGUUUUGGAAUCAUAGUUUAACAGCAAAAUGAUUAAUUGAUUUUAAAGAUUUCAACGACAACAAGUUUUACGCUAAACACCUUAAAGUGACACCGCCAGAUUCAACCAUAACUCCUAGGCCGGGUUUGGGGUGUUACAAUGUGUUUCAACCCUAUUAUUAGAAACUGAUACCCUAUUAUUAGAAACUGAUAAUGGAAACACAACUUUUAAUUAGAAACCUCUAAUUUUAAAAUUCAAUAGGUAAAAGCAAGUUAUCGUUAAGUGCCUGUGAUACGCUAGUAAAACUCAUUCUAGAAAAAAAAGUUUAAUGGAAACAAUUGUUAUCCAUUGCGUAUAGAGGAUGAAUUUGAAUACUAUUAAUUAAGUUCAUUGUUUAUUGUUUAAAUGUCUAAAGUAAGGGAGACAUUAAAAGAACUCUACCUUUAUAAACAUAAGAAGUGGUGCCACUUCAACAAGUAAAGGUAGGGUCUCUCUUGUAAAUGUUUAUUAUGAACAAGAUAAGCACAUGAUCAUUUUAGUGCUAAAAGUGAACAACCUCUGAUAGAAAUAUAAACGAAUAUUAUGUAUAGUGUAUUUCAACUUCUAAUACUAGGAGUUGUGGUUCAAUCUUCGGACACCGACAACUUAUUAAAACUUUGAAAAGCAUCCGCUUAUUGAUGGUUCAUAUUGAGAGGUAUCAUCUUUAAUGCAUAAUAUUUGUUUGAGUGAAUGACCAUAAAGUAUGGUACCAACAUUUAAACUAAGGGUGAUUGUUAGUAGUUUAUAAUUUUGGCAGUAAAAAUAUUUUAUUAUGUAGAAAAGUCUAAUAAAUUAUAAUUAUUGGUCAAAUAGUUGUGUUGUAAAGACAAUUUUUGUAUGUAAAGUUGUCUUAUAAACUUUAUGUAAAGUUGUGUUGUAAAACAACAAAAUUAUAUGAAAAUGUAUCUUAUUAAAAGAUACAUCCAUAUGAAAGGGUAUCUCAUGAAAAGAUACACCUAUUAGAUGUCUAUAUAAAAGAUUUUUCUGUUAGUUAUUUAAAUUGUUUUGCUUGGAGUGUUGAGGGCUUUGUUGUAUCUUGAAGGUAUUUUAAAAUCUUAAAGAAAGUGCUCUACACACCUUAAAGUCAUUAUAUUUUAUAACAUUAUUUUAUUUUUCUAACUUUUAUUUUCCUAUUAUUUAUUUUUCUAACAGCUAGAAUAUAGGAAAAUUAUUAUGUUUCUAGCUAUAUAUUGAAUACAAGUAUGUUGGUGUUUAGAACUCGAACUUUGAUGGUUGAUCGAGAGAUUUGAAGCAGAAAGAAGAGACGGGAAGUUUUAAGUAGAAAAAUAAUUGAAGACUGGAAUAUAUAAUUGAUUUGCACCUCAACUAUUUAAAUACAAAAGUUCAAGCUAAAAAUAGAAAAAAAAAGUUCUAAAAAUCUGCUAAAAAUCUGGUAACAAAAUAGCAAACAAAUCAAAAAUCUAAUCUCCUAAAGUCAAGGAGAAUUAUUCAAACUUAGUAACAGAAAAAAUUUAAAUGGCAGCAAUCUUAAACACAUGAUCUUAACACUCCUCCUUGUUUAGAUGCUACAAACUCCAAGUUUCUUCCUGAAGCUUUCAAACUUGCUAAGUGGCAAUGGUUUGGUGAAGAUAUCUGCAAUUUGAUCUUCAGAUUUGUAGUAACAAAGAGACACAUCACCACUCUUUUAAACUUCUCGAACAAAAAAUAACUUGAUGUUAAAAUGCUUAGUCUUCCCAUGAAAGACUGGAUUGUUAGAGAUUGCAAUGGCAGCCUGGUUAUCAACUAGAAUCUUUGUGCUUUGCUUCUACUCCAUGUUUAGAUCAACAAGAAUCUUCCUUAACCAGAGAGCUUGGUUAACUGUUGCUGUUGCAGCCAUAAAUUCUGCCUCAACAGUGGAUUGAGCUACAGUUUCUUGCUUCUUCGAGCUCCAAGAGAACAUGCCUGAUCCAAGGCAAAAACAAUAACCAGAGGUACUCUUCAUAUCAUCAGUUAAGCCACCCCAAUCACUGUUAGAGAAACCAAUCAACUUCAAUUCCCUAUGCUUUAAAAACUUUACUCCAUAAUUCCAGGUCCCCUUGAUGUAUCUGAUAACUCUUUUUGCAGCUCUCAUGUGAGUCUCAUUGGGACAAUGCAUGAAUCUGGAGAGAAUACUUACAGCAUUCAAGAUGUCGAGUCUGGUUGUUGUUAAGUACAUUAGACAACCUACCAAACUCCUGAACUCAGCUUCAAUGACUUUGGCAGAACCAUCAUCUUUGAUUAGCUUCUCUUUUUGAUUCAUAGGAGUACUCAUUGCUUUGCAAUCUUCCAUAUGGAAUUUUCUAAGUAUCUCCUUUGCAUACUUUCUUUGACAGAUGAACACUUCAUCUUGGCUUUAUUUGAUCUCAAUGCCAAGGAAAUAAGACAUCAGAUCAAGGUCUGUCAUUUCGAAGACAUUAUGCAUUUCCAAUUUAAACUGAUUAACUUGAUCGAUAUUGCUCCUUGUAAUCAAUAAGUACAAAUAAGCAAGCUUUUUCCUUUGAUUUCCUUAUCUUCUUUUCUUUUUGUGCUUUAAUCUGUGCCACAGUAGGAUUUGCUGGAAGAGGUGGGACCUCGUAAUCCUCUUCUACAGGUUCCCAAAGAUCCAAAGCCUCUAUGUAAGUCUCCAUGCGAACUGCCUACAUCUGGUAAUUGUCUCCAUCGAAGACUGGUGGUGCAGCAACUGAAAAACUGGACCCUCCUUCCAUAUUAACACGCAAAUAACCUAACAAAUCCCUCAAGAAAAUAGCUCUGAUACCAAUUUGUUGGUGUUUAGAACUCGAACUUUGAUGGUUGAUCGAGAGAUUUGAAGCAGAAAGAAGAGACGGGAAGUUUUAAGUAGAAAAAUAAUUGAAGACUGGAAUAUAUAAUUGAUUUGCACCUCAACUAUUUAAAUACAAAAGUUCAAGCUAAAAAUAGAAAAAAAAUGUUUUAAAAAUCUGCUAAAAAUCUGGUAACAAAAUAGCAAACAAAUAAAAAAUCUAAUCUCCUAAAAUCAAGAAGAAUUAUUCAAACUUAGUAACAGAAAAAAUUUAAAUGGCAGCAAUCUUAAACCCAUGAUCUUAACAAAGUACUACUUGGAAGCCAACACCCACAAACAUGAUAAAAGUUAAUUUUGAUGAGAGUUUUGACAUGGAAGCAAGAAAUGAGGAAGAGGGUAGUUAUGCAGCAUUGUGAUGAUUUUUUAGUCUGACUAUGCAACCAUCCAAUUUAGGGUGCAUUCUCCAUUGUGGUGAAAAAGCACUUAAAGAACAUUUGGUUUUUGCACUUAAAAUGUGAUGGAAAAAUGUUUUUCCACCCAAAUACAAAAACUAGGAUAUAAAUGUUUUUGACUUUUAGCUUUUAUGUUUGGAAGUGAAAAUUAUCAAAAUAUCAUUAUUUAUAUUAACUAUUUAAAUGGUAUAUAAAAAUUAGAUUAAUUUAUAUUUUAUAUAUCAUUAUAUUAAAUUAUUUAAAUAUUAUUUAUUAUUAUAUAUUUUAAUAAUUUAUAUAUCAUCUAUUUUACAAAUAAUUUAUAUUAAUUACUUAAAAAAUAUUUGGAACUUAUAUUUCAUGUAUCAUUAUAUUAAAUUAUUUAAAUAUCACAUAAUUUAACUAAUUUUUUACUUUCCACUAUCAUGUCUAAAGAAAAGGAUAUUUUAACUUUUAACAAGAAUUUUUUGUAGCAAUGGAGAACACCAAAAAUUAAUAAACACACUUUUUCAUAGUAAUUUUCAACCACACUUUUCAACCGCAACCCUAAUGAAGAAUUAAUCCUUACUAAAGUUACCGAAGCACUAGCUUCCACCGUAGCCAUUGAAAUGGCGCUCCAAUUGGGAUUGCAACACAUUAUUAUUAAAGGAGAUGCUCUCCAAGUGGUUUCGGAGUUGAAGGAAGACAAAGGAGACCUACCAACAACCGGACCUUGAUAGCAAAGAGUUGAAUACUUGCUAAACAGGUUCAGCAAUGUAGGUUUCAACACAGGAAGAGGCAUGCUAAUGAGGUGGCACAUCAUCUGACCAAACAGGGCCUUAAUUGUUUUCCAUCUUUUGUUCAUAUGUUUGUUUUGAAAAGGUAAAACAAAUCCUCACCUAUUGAUGUUAGAACGGUUGAAUUGCUAAAAGCAUGCUGCAUGCAUAACCAUGCUUUAGGUUAGGCUUCAAAUUAAAUAAAUUUUAAAUUAUUUUUAUUUAAAUUUAAUUAUAAAAAUAAAUUAAUAUCAAUAGAAAAUUAUAUAAAAUUUUAAGAUAUUUUAUUUUUCAAUAAUAAAACGAAUCAUUCACCAAACCUAAUUCUUCAAUUUCUUUUUAAUUAGAUCACAACUCAAGCCAAGCUAACCAAUAAACACCCAAAAUCUACCAUCAUUUUCAUUUUCAUUUUUUUUUCUUUUGUGACAAAGUAGACAGAAGAUUCGGUUUGGAUAAGCUCUACGUUAUUAAGUCAAAAGCUGAAGUAAUUUUAAUCAUAAAUUGUUUUAUUUGUCUAUAAUGCAAAACAAUGACCCAGUUAGUACAAUAAAGCUUUAACUUUGUGGAACAUUUCAGUCCAAAAAAAAAAAAAAAAAGAAUUGUGGAAAUUUUAGAGCAGUUGACCAUUUCUUCGGAAUUAGUUUUCUCACUUCUUGUCCAUAUUCCAUGUAUAUUAUUUCAAGAAAUUAGGUUUAGAAAUUUGCAUAAUUCAACCAUUGAACUAAUAAAUAUUAAACAAAAAUUGGGUGGCAAAAAAAAUCUUAUUAAAAUCAUAUACUAUUACUAAAAUUUAUGAUUAAAUUAGUGUCACGAGUUAACGGGACAUUAACAAAUUAUAUUAUUUGAGGGUAUUUUAAUCUUUUUAUUAAAAAAGAUGAUGUCUCAAAUUAACUCACAAUCUAAUCUAAUUUUUCAUUUUAAUAUUGUAAAUAUUUCAUGUUUUAUUAUUAAUUUGUUUCAAAUUAUACAUUUCAUUAUUUAUUUUAUGUUAUUUUUAAACACAUCUGUAUUCUAAGUACCUAAUUUUCACUUAUGGGUAUCAGAGGCGAAUCUAGGGAGGCUGAUAGGGGUCUCGGUCCCCUUAAAAUAGAAAAUUAUUAUUUAAGCCAUUUAGAAAAUUUUAAAAUUUUAAAUUAGUAAAUGUAAAAUUACACUUUGACCCCUCUAAAAUUAUAAAAAUUUGAUUUAAUCCUUUAAAAAUUAUAAAGAUAUAAACUAUUAAAAAUAAAAAUUUCAUUUCGGCCCUGCCUAAAAAAUUUUUUUGACUUCACCCCUAAAGUAUGAUAGAGUUUCUAGUAUGAAUAAUUUUCUUUGGAAGUGUUAAACAAACAAAGGAGUUAAGUAAACAGUAGUUUUCAUACAGAAAUAUUCGGCGUUGAUGUUUCCCUUUCGAAUAAUUAAAUUAAGACUUAGGAAAAGGGAAAACAAUGAAAAAGAAACUAAAAUUGAGCUUAAUUUAUGGAGUUGGGUUAAAAUUUUAAUAUUUAAAUAUAAAAAUUCUAAUAAUUUGAUCUGGUCCGUUUCAUCUAGCAGACUAAUAAUAAAUCUUAAAACAUAUUAUAUUUUAAUUUAAAUAAAACCAAAACUAAUACACUUGACCUACAUCUACAUGUGAUCUAUGCUUCAUUUAAAUUAGUCUAAAUUAGACGAGAUCUUGAUUAGGAGUCAUUUAUUUAUAUUAUAAGUCCCUGAAACAUGCAAAACUUACAUUUAAAAAUUAAUAUUUUUACGUUGUUGUUAGAAUAUAGGGUUUGUUAAUGUUUUCGUGUGAAGUCAGCUGUUGACAUUACCAAUCAGAUAAUGAAAAGGAAACAUGGCAAUUAUUCCAUCCUAAUUGUCACCAAAUUAAGUUAAUCCAAAAAUUACCAAACGUUUAGUACUUCAAUGGUAGAGUCAGCUCUUUCUUCUAGUCUAUCAAAAAAAGUCAAUUUAACCCCUAACUCUUGGAUGGAAAAGUUUUUGCUAUGAACUUGUUGAAGUGAAUCUCAUGUGAUAUAAACGCAUCGCAAUCUCCGUGUGUAACUAAAAAUAUUUGAGAGAUUGAAUAAUUUAAAGGGGAAAAAAAAAGAAUUUACUCCCUCCACUAACAAAUUACUCUUGCCAACGUAUGUAUGAAAGUAAACACCUUUAAUUAAUCAACAAAUGCUAAAGUUCGAGGUUUAGAAUUAAUUAAAUACCAAUAUAAAUAGUUAAUUACUUUUUUGAAAUAAGGAUAAAUCAGUUUGUGAGGUUUGAAUUUUUUGUAUCUUAACAAUUGUUCUGACUUUAGAGUUUGAAGGUUUUUUUUUUAUCCAAAUUAACCUAUGAACUUAGUAAUUUGUCUCUCAUUAAGGUUUAAAUUUUUUAUUUAUCUAAGUUAAUUCUUAAAAAUCUUGAAAUUCGAGAAUAAUUGUCAAGUUAAAAAAAUUUAGAUUUCAAUAUGAGAAUAAUCUACUAGUUCGUAACCUUAAUAUAAAAACAAUUGUUAAGUUGAAAACUUAAUUUAAAAACAAAUUCAAACCCUUCUUAAGUUUACGAUUUAACCCUUUGAAAUAUUGCGUUAACUAGUAAGAGUAAGAAUUAUUUUGUGUUGAUGAUUAAAUAAAUAUUUAAGUGGAGAUCAAGUUUUACCUCAUUUGUCAAUUGUCAGGUGAAGAAUAUAUACCCCUAAAGGCCUAUCAAAAACGGACCUAUCUCUAUCUAUAUAUCUUAACUAAUUUACUAUUCAUUUUUAAUGAAAAUCAAUAAAUCAAUGAAAACGUUAUAAAAAGAAAACUACGUGAAUAAAUUAUAUGUGUAAAAUUGAAAUAUUUCUUAUUUUAGUACAAUGGUAAGGAACAUUACAUUUUUAAGGAAAUGAUGUCAGGUUCAAACCUUAAAGAUAAUAUUCUUCUUCUUGAGAAGAACAAUCCCAAACUCCAAAAUGAACCCUUAUGAAUUAUAUAAAAAAAUUUUGAAAUAUUUCUAUAAAAUAUCAUUAAAGUUUUUUAUUUAAAAAAUGUUAUGGGUAUACUUUUACCUCUUGUAAAAAAGUCUUUCAUUUCUCAAUUCUUAUGGCAUAGUAAAUUUAUCAUUAAUUUUCAUCUUUAGGUAAAAAAAAUGGUUAUUAUUUGUGUAUUAAAUAAUUGUUAGGAUAAAUUUUAAAAUUGUAUAUGAAUUUUGGUUUAAUGUUAAUUAUAUACAUUAAUUUUAAUUUUAUGUAAUUUUAUAAAUGAAAUUUUAAUUUGAUCCAAUUCUAACAAAUUAUUAACACAGUUAUUGAUAUAACAUCAUUUUAUGUUUAUAUGCUAUAUACAGAAAUAAUUAUGUUUAUUCAAUAUAAAAAUAAAUUGAUGUAUUUAUUUCUUUAAACAUAUAUGAUUGAAUCAAAAUUAAAACAUCGUGUAUAUAUUUGAACCACAAUUAAAAUUUUACAUAUAAAAUUACAUAAAAUUACAAUUUAUAUACGUAAUAAACUAAAAUUCAUAUAUAAUUUUAAGAUUUAUGUCCACAAUUCUCUAAAGCUAAACGGUGAUGAUUACCAUGGAAAUUCAAUGUACUUAACUAAUUGGUUGAUAGGAACAGGCAUGAUGAAAUCCAUGAUGGGAAGAGAGAGAAUUCAAAAACUGGAAUGCCCCCAUUAAUCCAUGCAAAUAAACUUUUUCGGUAUUACAUCAUAAUUCAUUUAAUUUUAUCAUCAUCUCUAUGCCAUAACCAUGUUUAAAGUAAAAUACUUAUAUAAAUUGAGACAUUAAUAGUUUGUAUUAUAUAAAUUAUGACAUCCAUAUAUCCAUAUUAUAAUUUUUAUGAAAAAUUAGAGCUGGCAGAUAAAAAAUGGCUUACUGAUCAAUGAAAAAUAAACUUUAUUUCUUGUAAAUUGACUUAUCCUUUUAAAAAGUAUAAAUAUUUUUUUAAAAUUCAUUUAUGAGUAAUUUUAUUAUUAUAAAAAUUAAUUUUGCAAAGUCUAAUAUUAUUAUAUUAAUAAUUUUAUUUUAAAACUAUUUAAAAAUACUAAUAUCAAAUAUUAUAAUGUUGAAUCCUAGUAACAUACAUAUUAAAUUAUUUAAAUUAUGUAAUAUUGCAAUUUUAUUUUAAUACUAAAUUUUAACAACAAUAAUUUUAAAUUUUAGAUCAUAUUUUUAAUAUAUUAUUGAAAAAUAUUUAUAUUAAUAUUUUAAUAAUAAAUAUAUAUAUUAAAAUUUAUAAAUAUUUAAUAAUAAAUGUUUUAUAGUAUAAAAUAUGAAUAUUUUAAUUAUAUAGAUAUGAGCAUUUGUUUAAAUCAUGUUUAGUUUCAUUUAUCUCCCAACUAUAAUGUGUUAUUAUACACCGUCAUAUAUAUAAUAUAUGUAAUUUAAGCAUUGUUUAUUAUUAAAUUUAUAUAUGAUAUUAAUUAUUAUAAAAUAUUAUCUUAUUAUAAAAGAAAUUCUAAUUAUCAAAAAGAAAUGUUACUUUAAUAUUUUGUAACAAGUAUAUUUAUGUUGGGCUUGUUUCAAUAAUAACUUUAAAAUGAUUUUAGAAAAAAAAUUGUCAAAUAAUAAAAAAAUAUUUUAAGCAAAAUAAUUCAAACACAAAAAACUAUCAACUUUUCCAUAAAAUCAAUCCAAUUUUAAGAAAACAUUUUGUGAAAAUUGUUUUAGGUAAAACAAAAGGAACCUAUAUUUUAUAUAGUAUUUGAAAAGUUGUUGUAUCUAGAAUUAUUAUCUUAAAUAUUUUUUUAGGUCUAAUUUUAAAUUUCAUCCCUUUAUGAAAAUUGAGAAGUUAAAUUUUCUAUUUUACUUUAUCAGUCUGUGCUUGAUUGUUUAUUAAUUUGUCGUGUAUAAAUGGUUAAAUUAUUGAUUUUUGUUAAUUACUAGCAUGUAAAUUGUCAAACUACUUGUUCUCAAGGGAACGGUAAAGUUUAAUAGUAUUAUCAAUUUAGAACAAUUUUUGAGUUUUUUCUUUUAUUUUUCAUGUUCGAGUCCAUAAUUACUCCUUCUAAUAAUGUCGUCUUUAAAGUUUGAGUUCGAAUUCAAAUUCUCUUUUUGGAAGUACAAUAUGCCUUAUAAUUAUACCUAAUACUUUUGAUUUUUGUAAAAUAUAAGAAUCAAAAUUGUGUAGUAGGAUUAAUUUCUAGAUUUUUUAAAUUUAAAAUUUAUAAUAUUAUCAAUCGCAUCACACACAAAACCAAAGAACAAGAGAAUCUAAAAAACACGUGGACCAUUAAUUUAGGAAUGGACAUUAUAUUUUAUUAGUGGAAUAAACUCAUGCAAAAUGGUUGGAAAACACAUACAGGAUUAUAUAUACUAAUCAUUUUUAUUAUUAAGCAGAAUCGGAAAUAAAUAAAUACGAGCGAAACCACUGAAUAAUACAGCAUUGAAAUGCAAUUUGUCUACAUCAUUAUUGUUCUUCACUUCAAACGCGGAGACUAGUCUAGGCUCCCAAUCUUUUGCUUUAUCUCUCUAGAUAUAUCCUUUUCAAACUAUCUUUUUGUAGCUUUAUUUGCAUCACAGCAUUAUCUUUUCCUGCAAACAACUGUUCAAUGAUUAAAACAUGCAAAACAUUCUGAAAUAAUGCACCCUUACCAGAUGACAAAAAAAAAAAAAGAUUCUAAUGUAUCUUACCUUGGAUUGGAGCACGGUCAAAGCCGUGGCUUAGUAGUGGUGAGGAGGAGGGGGUGAAGCGUAGACAUAAUGGGGUGGUGGUGGUGGAGGAGACUUGUAUUUGUAAACUGGAGGAGGAGGUGGUGGAGACUUGUACUUGUAAGGGUGCUUGGGGGGUGAUGGUGGGGGUGGUGGGGGUGACUUGUACUUGUAGGGGUGCUUGGGUGGUGACGGUGGGGGUGGGGACUUGUACUUGUAAGGAUGCUUGGGGGGUGAUGGUGGUGGUGGUGGAGGUGACUUGUACUUGUAGGGGUGCUUGGGUGGUGACGGUGGGGGUGGGGACUUGUACUUGUAAGGGUGCUUGGGUGGUGACGGUGGUGGUGGUGGGGGGGACUUGUACUUGUAGGGAUGCUUUGGUGGGGAUGGUGGUGGUGGUGGUGGGGACUUGUACUUGUAGGGAUGCUUAGGUGGUGAUGGUGGUGGUGGUGGAGACUUGUAUUUGUAAGGAUGCUUUGGUGGUGAUGGUGGUGGAGGUGGUGGGGACUUGUACUUGUAAGGGUGCUUGGGUGGUGAUGGAGGUGGAGGUGGUGGAGACUUAUACUUGUAAACUGGAGGUGGUGGGGGUGGAGACUUGUACUUGUAAGGGUGCUUGGGUGGUGACGGAGGUGGAGGUGGUGGAGACUUAUACUUGUAAACUGGAGGUGGUGGGGGUGGAGACUUGUACUUGUAAGGGUGCUUGGGUGGUGAUGGUGGGGGUGGGGGUGGCGACUUGUACUUGUAGGGGUGUUUAGGUGGUGAUGGUGGUGGUGGUGGUGGUGGUGGGGACUUGUACUUGUAAGGAUGCUUGGGUGGUGAUGGUGGUGGAGGAGACUUGUACUUGUAAGGAUGCUUGGGUGGUGAUGGUGGUGGAGGUGGUGGAGACUUAUACUUGUAAACAGGAGUUGGUGGGGGAGGAGAUUUGUACUUGUAAGGUUUCUUGUGUGGUGGUGGUGGUGGAGGAGAGUAGAUCGGAGGAGGCGGUGGGGGAGACUUGUAAUGGUAGGGUGGUAGUGGGUUCUUCUUAG